AAUAAUUACAUUGAUGGUAUUUCAAUCAAACCCUGGAAGCGAUCAGAGGGGUAUUAUUCUGCAGAUAAGCACAAGCAGCUGCUACUCCACUUCCCAACUUUACCGGGUAACCCACAUCCUUGAGUAUCAUCUCCACUCCAGUAUGUUUGACAGAGAAUGAGGGUCUGAUUAAGGAAUCAGGACCCAUUUGGCAGAGUUAUGACUGUCUUAGCACAAAGAGGCUAGCAUGACUGGUUAUUAAGACUCAAUUUCUCCAUCACCUUGUCAUAGUUAUAAAAGCUUAAAGUUGCAGUAGUUGAACAUUUUUGCUGGAAACUACAGCUAGAUAAUCCAUUAUAUUGUGAUCAGAGUUUAAGAGUUAUCCUUUGAAGUUUAGACAGUAGAAGGAUUUUCAAAUCCUCGGUUUGGGUCCUUAGACAUUAUGACUCAAGAAUACGAAUACGAGUCCGCAGACAUUCCAAAGCAGUCUCUCUGCCCACAAUUACCAGGUCAAAAUGCUGAUAGGUAACAAAUUGUAAUGACUUCUUACCGUUAAUUUUAUUAUUUUUCUCCUCGAUGCAUGACUAACGAAUACAUUCACACAGGCAAAUUGUUUCAUGAUUCUUUAAUGCAAUUUGGAGGACUGUUUUUAAUUUAAUAUACACUCUUGUGGAUUAUUUGUGUGCUACUGUCAGCAGUGUCUUCAUGUCUUCAUGUACUCAAGUAUCCUUCUUGGAUUUAUUCUUAAGAUGGUGUUUCUGAAUGAUGUUUAAUGAAUCACUACAUGCACAUGUCAAAGGAUUUGAGAAAUGAAGGUUACCUCGUUCAGGUUGCCGAGAUGCCCUAUUCUGAAAACCUUGCCAGCUACUUUGUUAAGGCCCAAACCUAAGCUUAAGUUGUAUCUUUUCCAUCCCCUCCUAACAAUUUCUGCACUAUCAAUGUACGGGGGAACAACUACAGCAGUCACUGUGUCACUGAACCAUUCCUCCUUUUGAGUACAGUUCUUCAAGCCCCAUGCCUCCACAGCAAGCCUACAUUUUAAAAUUCAAGGAGUCAUGAAUUGUGCAUCUGUCAGACAAUUCAAUGAUUGAGAUAACUUUCUGAAAUAAUUAAAAGGAAAACAUAAAAGAAAAGGGAGUAACCUUGUUGCUUUUCCCAGACGAGCAUGCCUUUCAAACACAUUCUCAAGCCCUUCCGCAAAAAGGAGAUCCAGUGCUGCUCUAAGUCCAUACAACAAUUGGAUGGAAGGAGUGUAUGGCCAAAAUGUUCCAAGGUUGUAGAACUUCAAAUAGUCCUUCCAGUCAAAGAAGACUCUAACCGACUUUGCAGUUUUAGAUGCCUCGAUAGCUUUAGGGCUUGCACACACAAUACCCAUCCCGGUAGGAAGAGAAAGAGCCUUUUGAGAGCCAGUUAAAGCCACAUCUACUCCCCAUUCAUCCAUACGGAAAUCAAGGGCACAAAUGGAGGACACUCCAUCAACAAGGAAGAGAGCUGGAUGGCUGUAGUCAUCUGAGAAUCAUUGAAAAACACGAGAUCCAUCAUACGUGAUCAAGAUUAAAAUUAAACGAUGAAAGAACUGAAUUAUAAUAUCCAAAGUCACAGAAACAGACAAAAGCUGAAUGCUGAACCAGCUCUAUGUUGUUUGUCAAAUAAAGCAUAUAAGCUAAUCUAACAAUCCAAAAAAUUAGAAGCUUAGAACUGAUCGUUUCCAAUAAAUGGGCGAGGAAGGCUAUAUUUUCCACGUAAUUUGCACUGCAUAAUUCCACUCCCACCCUAAAAAAUCCACCACAAAGUACACUGCAGUAUGCUUCACUCAAGCAUUUUAAACUCCAUUGAUUUAUAAAUGCUAUGGAAAGCUUCUAUUAAAGCAUUUAUUAGGGAUAGGUAAAAGAAGCACUACAUCAGUACUGGAGCAGAUGUGCAAAUAUGUCUUAGAAUCAACCCUCUGUAAGAGGUACUAUUUUGCACAGCGAAUAACCUUCAGGGAACCAACAUCAAGCUUGGAGAUCAGCGGACACCGCUUUCGAGUUUCAACCAAAACUCUCGAGUAGUUAGGGAUCUUUCUCUGUAUAUAGGUGCCUCAGUCGGUCCCCAGGCAACUGAUGCAGGCCUAGCUUUCAUGUUCCAGAAGUUAGACAAACAUAAAAGGUCAACGACUGUAAUAGGAUCAUAUGCUGAAGUCAAUACAUAUUUUAACUAGUUUAUGCUGGAAAAGAUCCUUGAUUUUCUUUGGAGAAACAUCUAAGCAAGUAAUAUAACCGAUUAAGGACUAUUAGCAUACAUAGGCACUUUAUUAUUGCUGCUAAGGUUUGCCACUGACAAGCACUAGCAUAUACACUUACCAAGUAUUUUUCUAACUUUAGCCAAGUUGUUGGUAACUCCAGUUGCUGUCUCAUUGUGAACAAUGCAAACAGCCUUAAUGGUGUGUGCAGUAUCUUCCGCAAGUUUUGAGGCCAGGAUGUCAAGGUUGGCACCUUGACCCCAGUCACUUUCUACAACAUCAACAUUGAAACCAAGGCGUUGUUGCUGAUCAAUCCAGAGCAAACUGAAUUGGCCUAUCAAGAAAGACACAGUUCGAUCUCCAGGAGACAAUGUGUUGGUAAGUGCACUCUCCCAUGCACCAGUGCCUGAACCAAAAUAGCAACGUCAACUAACACAAACUACUAUUAACUGAAAUAUACAAAAAUAAAUGUCUCCAAUAAGAUGGCAUAAGUUAGCAAGCACUUCCAAAAUUCUUACGACAUAAUGGCAUUCAAGAAGUCUAAAGCAUUUCACUGUAUUUGGAUUUGUGCUCCAGAUGAAUUACAAACAUUUUAGAAUUUAAGACCAGGUCAGAUGACUGCUGCAAUAGUACCUGUGGUUGGGAUGAGAAAUGGAAUUCCUGAGGUAGUCUUGAAAAUCUUCUUCACAUCCUCAAGAAGAGUUUUUGUCAUGGCUGGAACUGCUGGUGAACGGUAAUCCUCGUUGUUCCUAUUCAUUGCCCGAAUGACUGGUUCUGGGAUGUUAACCGGCCCUGGAACAAACAGAUGAUUCCUUCCUGGUCCAUAAAAGUAGUCCAUCUUCCCCCCUGCAGAAUACCACAAACAAACUAUAUUCAUCAAAACACCUUAGCUAGAAAAUCACAGUGCAGAAAUCAGUGUUCACAACCCUCUUCGGAACAAUUCAUGUAGGUUUAUGUACUUUACUAAAUUCUUAAAUCAGGAAAACAUUAUACGUCCAACUACACUUCCUAGGAAUUUUUGUGCCAGCACACAAAGUUAAGAAAUCAAGCUGAAUUUCAUUUUACAUAGUUUCAUUUGGACAAUUCAUGCAGUGCUGUUGUAUUCAAAAUAGGCAUAACCCAAUACAAAAUACCACAUACAAUUAGAUUUUGGAAUGAAAAAGAACCAAAAACAUAAAUUGCAGUUGCAAGUGCUUUGGUAUGAAAGAAAGAAAAAUGUAGGAAGGCUGGAAGCUAUAUAUAGCUUAUUGGAAGAAUCUGUGUUAGUUUAUUGAAAGCUGUAAUUCUGCCCUUCACUCUCAGGAUUUACAACUCCUUUUCCUUUCCUUUCUUUUUUGUUUUAUCUUCCUUUCCUUUUCUUUUAAAAAAAACAACAAAACUCAAGCUUUUUCCAAGAAUUAUUGGACAUCAAUAGUCCCCUCAGCCCUAGUCAACCUUGUUGUAUAGGGUUCAUUUGACGGCAUGUACUUAGGUCUUAAUACAGGAACUGUCUUCUAAUUGCCUAAAUCUCCACCAUUCAUCCUAUGAUUUAAACUUAAGACACCCGAGUAAAAUCUUAAAGUUUAAACCACUCAGCUAUCUCCUUGGGACAUCAUCGUGAAUUUUGAUCAGUUGCUUAUUUUCUAUCAUUAAUUAAAAACUGACACUACAUAAAAUCUAAAAGAUAAUAUGGCCUUAAUUAUAUGUUUUGUCUACCCUUAGUUUCUCUGCUUCAAAUACAAAAUUAAAAACUUCUUCAAAUAUAGUUCUAUAAGGAGUGAAUAAUACAUUUGUAAUAAUGUAUAGAAAGGACAUCAACACCUUGCCUUUUCUCCCUGGUAAAAAAGAAGUUUGUAUAUAGGAAAGUAAAGCAUGCUGCGCGCUUAAUGAUCAAGGAAACCAGAAACAGUUGAUAUCAAUGUAUUCAUGCCAUCACAUCUUAUAAGAAAUUAUGAAACUCAUGCCAGUGUAUUAAUCCUGGUAAAUCAACCCUUUUCAACUCCUAAAAGUAGAAGAACCAAAACAAGAUUGAAAGCAGUAACAAGGUCGGUGUAUUUCAGUAUUUGUGUGGUCGUGUCAGUGUCUAACAAACCAUCAAAACAAGACCACACCUCUGAUAAGAGCAGAAGAUGAACUAAGAUAUAUAGUAGAUAUACUACUAGUACACACACACACAAAAAAAAGAAAAAAGAUGGGAGUAACAGGAGAAAGAGUUGUCAGGUAUAAAUUACCUGUUGUGGUGAGUUUUGAUCAAAAGUGUGUCUCUGCCUCUCCUUUUCUUUUUCCUGGUUCUUUGGCAGUGUUAGGGGAUGAGUGCCUAUAGGCUGUAGUGAAAAAGAAGCUAAAGAGGAGAAUUCAGUUUAAUAAGAGGGCGGGAGAGCCAAUCAAUGUCCCAAGUGGGGUCCUCCUUUCACUUGCGUGGCAGAUAAGAGUGAACCUAUUGGAAUCCUGCGGCUAAGAAUGACUGCCAUGGCCAACAUUUUUGGCCUGCAUCUGAUUUCCACUAACGACUGCUACCAUGUUCUUGUUGAGGGUUUUUCUUUUUCUUUAUUUGCAUCUUUGUCCUUGUAUUUUGCUAUCUUUCAAUUCUAGCUCUCAAGGUAUUUGCUCAAGUGAAGUAAAAAGUUGGAAUUAAACGUUCAGAAAUAGGUGUAGUCUUUGUUGUGUUAUUAUGGCAAGGGCAUGAGGGAAACAUAUUUCUUUAAUUGGUGGACACAAAACAAAUUGUAAGACAUCAGGGACUGAACAAAAUUAAUGGAUUAUCCAUCUCUCUUCUUCUUCUUUUCAAAAAUAAAAUAAGAGAAGAAGAAGAAGAAGAAUACCUCCCUUGUUUUGGCACGACAUGCAUAGUUUUUGGAAGCAGGUAGUAUGAGGUCGAGAAAGCAAUGUGAGAGAUAAAGUGAUAAAGUGCUAUCAACCACGCUUCACUUGUGGGAAUCAAGGCCACACAGCCCCUUUUAAUCUUGUCUCUUUACUUCCUUCUCAUCAUUUUUGUUUCUAUCUCCUGUUUUGCUUGAUAUUUUCAUGUGGGUACAAAAGGAUGUUUGAAAUUGUAGCUGUGAUGAUUUGUUAAAGUGAUUUUUAUUUAUAAAUAUAUUAAAAAUAUAUAUUUUUUAUUUUUUUAAAUUAUUUUUAAUAUCAGUUCAUUAAAAUAAUUUAAAAAUAUUAAAAAAAAAAAUAAAAUUUUUUAAAAAUAUUUUUAAAAUGAAAAAACAAACAAAAGCAUUGCUUACCUUUUUUAUAUAUAAUUAUUUCUUUAAUUUUUUGACGUCUACCAUGAGCGAUGUAACAUGUUGGGUAUUAUUUUGGCCUCUCGUCUUGUACAAAUUUCUAACCACAAAAGGCAGGAUUAUGUUAUUCGAAGUGCCAAAAAAUAAAAAGACAUGCCCAGAAAUUUUAUAGACUCUUCGUGAUCAUCAGUACUAAUAACUACAACUGUCCUCCAAACAUGAGGGCUCUUCUUUGACAAGCUACCGGGAUUAAUGUCAAAUCGCAGCUAACCAAAAAACAAAAACAGCCUGCUCUAGCAGGAAGCAUGUUAUCAGCCUCCUACACUUCUCCCUUUUGAUGGGAGAUUCAUGGAGCUUUGGGAAAAACCUAGCAUCCACACAUUCAAUUAAAAAGUCAAUCGGCAUGAUAUACGAGGCCAUUGCACAGGACAUACAACACACAUCCAAAAAAUAGAGACCCAGGCUAGGGGAUAAUAUACAGGGACAUGAGAAAACUCAAAACCUAAAGGCAUCUGAAACCCUUUUUGCACAAGUAGCAUCAAUGGCAUGUAAGGACAGAGCGCUUCCUGUCACAAUCCUCAUAUACCUAAGUGUAUAUCUUUAGAUGCACAAUGUCAGCAUUCCCGAUUUCUAAUUACAAAGCAUUCCAUCCUAUUAAAAUCAGCCAAGUUGAUAGAAAUGCAUAUACACAAUAGCAUCAAUACACAGAACUUCACAAGCAAAACGUAAAUGUGAGGUGAAAACAACAGCUUUCAGUUUGACAAUUGAUCCAUAGCUAAAGCAGAUUCAUUUUUCUGCAUUACCAAAGUGAGGGCACAUAUACGUCCUUGGUAAUUCAUGCUGAUUAAGAAAUAGCUCACCACAUCAAAUAGCAGAAAGCAGAUAAAACAAUAAAUCAGACAUCACCGUAACACCACCACCUACAGUAACAAUUAGAGUAGAGCUGAAUCAGUGUAGAAACAGGUAACUAUAAUACAUGCCAUGUCCAGAAGCUAAGCAGCUUAUCAUCGUGCGCCAAGGACAGAACACAACUACUAAUAACAUAUUGACAAGUUUUAUUAGUGUCUCGACAGGAACAAUAAGGUUCAGAAUAAUGAAAAACUGAAACUGUAUUGGUAAAAGGGAAUCAAAAUUAUUCAAAACUGAUAAUGUACACUUCUCUCAAGGCAUAAUACAUGUAAUAUGUUCCGCUCAUUUAUGUAUAUUUUAAAUUGAAUGAAAUUCUAAUAUUUCUUUCACUAACUCCACUAUAUACGUAAAACCAAUUACCCAACUCAUUUCCUUGAACAAAAAAUUGCAACAAGACCACAUCCAUCCUUCUCAUGUUAAUUAAUUUUGGCCAUCCCCCCAGGCACCUUUUGUACAUUUAUGCAAAUUCCCCAUCCAACGGAUAUUUCAGAUCUGCCAGAAAGAAACUAAGUAGGAAUUGGCACCUUAUUACUCUGAUGUUGAAAAGAAUUCCACAGUAUAGCUAAUGACUGAAGCAGUGAUGGACCAUGGGAAAGCCAUGGGGCUUAUGCCUUUAAUCAGUUGCUCUCCUUCCCUCGAGCACUAAGACUACUUUAUACCUUAUGUAAAAUUUUGUUUUGGAGUAAAACCAGUUUGCCGCACUCGGUAAGGUCUCUCAAAAAAAGGCCUAUUAUCAGGUGGUCCUGCCCCAAGAAUUCCCAACGAGUUAGGGUUGGAUAAGCGGGUGCCCGGUGGUCUUUGUAAGGGGGGUUGAAUAUCAGCUUCAGCUCUUCUGCGUCGUUUCCACGCUUCAAAUUUCCCAGCAUCAUGACCUUUGUUUAUUGGUUCUGACAUUGCAUAGGCACUUUCAUUUUUAUAUCCAAUUUGCCGCUCAAAAUUCCUAGAAAGGGGAGGAAAAUUGUUGGGAUCGCUGUCUUUGUCAAGAGAACCAUAUGCAGCACCAUUGGCAUGAGAGGGUCCAGCACUUGCAUCUUCCUCCUGCUCCUGUUUAAGUUUCGAAUAAAUCUGACGAAGUUUCUCGCCAGAUAAAUUUGAAAAAGUAGAAACAUAAUUCCAUAAUCGCAUUGUCAUCCCUGGGAAAACAUUGAUUUAAAUGAAAAGAAGUGGCAGGGAACACCAAAAGUAAAUAAAAAAGGGGAAACAACUUGAACAUGUAUAGGAUGGAGAAACACAUACUAUCCUGUUUAUAACGCUCUUCCUCGUAUUCUAAGACAAUCUGGUCUAUUCUCCGUCCAAUAAGCUGUAAAUAGUUCCGAAUUUUCAAAAGCACCUGCAAGAAAAGGUUGAACAUAAACUUCUAGUAUCCAAAAAAUAUCACUACACAAUGGCCUAUCAGAAUAAAAGAUGCUGUACUUUUUCCUUUGGAAGGUCAGCGCUGGUAGUCUGCAACUUGUUAAGACGUUUCAGGGUUUUAAUUUCAUCAAACAUGACUUCUUCACACCAUUCCAUCCAUUUUACUUCCUUAAACUGCUCACAUAAUUCCUCAUUGUCUGACAUCUCACCCUCCUCUUUUACUAACUGUUCAACUCUCUGUGGUCUCUGAGGCCUAUUCUUGCUCGUUUGUACACUAACGAUUACAGACCCAGGCUUUGCUUUCUUGACCCUGUCCCGCGAAACAGAGAUGUUCAGAAGAUUCUCUCUCCCCUUCAUGGAGGCCUUCCGACCCCCUUUAGCAUUUGCUUUCUUUCCACCAAUAGCUGCAAGUUCCUGAUUGAAAAGGUGCUAGUUAUCAUCACAUAAAAUCCACCUCACUUCAAUGCAAAUUAUCAAUACACCAAAUUCACCACACGUCCAAAUUAGAUAUGCGACAGAACUAUAACGAACAAUUAAAAAAAGGCAAGCAUGCAAGUUCCUGAUUGAAAAAAGAAGUGCUCAUUAACAGUACAUAAAACCCACCUCACUUCAAUGCAAAUUAGAUAUGCGACAGAACAGUAACGAACAAUUAAAAACCACGCAAGCACUUACGGAAUUACUGCCAUCUGAUACAAGAAUAUCAUAGGCAACAGAUGAUGAAACUUCAAGUUUUAAUCUUGCACAAUUUUGACAGUCAAACUGGGAAGCUUGUUAAAUUAAUAUACUUGUGUCUUCUGUGACAAUUGUUUAAAUGGUAACAUGGAGUUUAACGAUACACAUAGCACACAACUAAAAUGGGAAACAAAAAUUUGCAAGGGAAGCUGAAAAUAUCAAGACUUAAGAUUGCACAAUUUUGGCUGUUAAACUAGGAAGCUAACUUAAUUAAUAUACUCGUGUCUGUUGUGGCAAUAGUUUAAAUGGUAGCUGGAGUUUAACAAUAUAAACAUAGCAUACAUGCAUAAUGGAGACAAAGCUUUGCAAAGGUUACAGCAAGAGACUGGAUGACAGCAUAAAGAAAGCCCUGUUUUCCAGUUUUGGCAUUUCCUGCUUUCCAAAUGAUAGCUUACCAUCUCCAGAAGUGCAUUAGCACGAUCCUUCAAAUUUGGAGCACGUGGUAAAAAGGUCUCAUGAUGCUGGAGUUCUGCUGGGGCAAUCUUCUUCGAAAGGCCAAGCCUUUCAUCUAACCGUAUCUUCUCCCAAUUGCCGAAUCCAUGGUAGUGUAUUCCCAGAAGCAAUCUUGCAUCAUCAACUAAGGAAAUACCAUAAUCAAUCAGCUAAAGGAAACAAGUCGAUUAUUAACCUCUUAAGAUAAUAAUACAAAAGAUAGGAAAUGCAUACUCUGAUUCCAGCCACAACCCUUGGACCAGUUUGAAGGCUUCAGGUACAUCAACACUCGAAACUGUGCUAUGGGAUUUUCAUAACGACUAAUUCGCUUUGCUAGUAGCUGAAGUUCUUGCACACGGCUCAAUAGAUCAUUUGCCUUCACAGGGACACCAAAAAAAUCCAACAAAGGACCCUAAAGAAAAUCCCAUUUGAAAUUGUUGAAUCAGAAACACAUUUUAUGCGAUGCAGCAACUACAAAAAGUACGCAUAGCAAGAAUAACCAAACCUUUGGGUCCAGAUUUCCAACUUCAACUGCUUCUCUACAACCAUCAACCAAAGCAUCAAAAAGCUCUAUCUGUGCAUCAGGUGGAGCUGCUGCAACUGUUCCACCAACCUCCUCAGCUAUCAAGUCUAUUUGGUUCAAGUUCCCAAACUUAAUCACCUAAUUCAAAAAAAAAAAAAAAAAAAGAGAGAGAAAAUCCAAACUUUAGCCAAGCAUGGCUAGUAGAAACAACUUCUAAUUAAAAUGAAAACAAAGAAAGGGAAGAAAAAAGGCUGUCUUAUAAACUUCCACAAUGCCAGAAGCACUCUAAGCUUGGCCAGUUCACAUUUAACCAGUUUAAUCAGCAUGGCACUUCCACAUAUUGCACAAAUUGGACAAGUUAUCAAAGAUCUUCCAAGUAGUGAGAAAAGGGGAAGAAGUUACAGGGCUCAUAUUUCCUUCCAGGUACCAAUAUAAAAAUUUCAUUGAACUAAUAAUUGUUUAUUAAUACUUUUGUUCCCAUUAAACUAUCAAUUAAAAAUGAAUUGUGGUGGAGUCUUAUCAGGAAUAAGAAUAUUUCCUGCUGUCAUCAAGCAGCUGGUGUUGGAUUCUCCAAAAUUUGACGGAAUUGAAAGAAUCCACGUUUCUCAGAUCCUAUUUUCAGGUUAACGAUAUUGCUAUUACAUUCAAUUAGAUUACUCGCAGUAAAGUAAAAAUUUGCAAAAGAGUGUAUGACAAUGGCAGAACAGAUGCAUAAUAAAACUGAUUUUGAUUAGUUAAAUUUGUCUUGCAGGUAAAGAAAGAAAAAUAGGAAAAUAUAAAAAAUAUCCAACCAACAAAUUCACAGAAUAGGAGCGAGGAGGAGGUUAAGAACCAAUCCCCACAUUAAGAAAAGAUGAAUGCACUGAUUAUAUAAUAUGAAUUAAAUUAAAAAACUCGUGAAGUUAAGGAAUCUGAAAACAUGUGUUUUUUAUCUCAACAUUUCCAACAAGAGAAAAGAUGUAGAUAUACAAAGUUCUAGACUGUCUAAAAAGGAUUUGUUUUCACUUCUAACAAUCUCGAAAAUUGAAAGAUAAAUUUGAAGCAUACCACACGAGAAAAGCGUAAAGCAUCUCUCUUAGGCAGAUUUCCAUGAGACCAUUCUCUCACUUGGGAGGAUGCUCCCUCGAUCAUUGGUGCUAAGGGGGCAGAAUAAUCUGAUUUUCGACGCUUCUGCACUCUCUCCUGUGGUUCUGGUGGCUCAGAACCUUUCUUUUUCCGUUUGUUACUUCUCCCAGGUUGAUUAUCCUCUGCAUAACUCUUAGUAUUUCUUGCAGCACGAGGAGCUAAAGCAUCCUAAGGGAGAAAACAAAUAUCACACAAAUAAAAAUAUGAUAAUUACAAAAGAAAUGAAAUGAACAUCACUAGUCAUUCAAAAAACAUGUCAAGCUGUCAUCUAUAAAAUCUUAAAUCAAAUUCAACAAAAGAGAUGCAUACCUCAGCUUCAGCUACAGCAUCUGGUUUUAUCCAACGACUCCAGAAACUCCCAUCAUUUUCGGCACAACAAAAAUUUGCAACCUGGAUAUAUUCCAAGAAUAAAAUAAUCAGCAAACUUAAUUGUGAAAGAAUCAAUAAGUAUGACAACACAUCCCCCCUAUGCCAACCACAAGUGUGCGCCCCCCCCCCCCCCAAAAAAAAAAAAAGAAAAAAGUUUGUGCUUGAUUUUACUCUCAGUUGGCAGGUAAAAUGGGGUCAAGAUAGAUUUGUCUUUUGUGCAUUUUCUUUCUUCCUCGAACUUAUAACCAUCAUUUUCUUUUUCCCAAGCACCUGGUUAUUAGACCCAAUAAUACACACUAUUUACUUUAAGACAAUUUAAUUCAAAAUUGAUACGGUGUUGCAAACCUUAACACAAUUUUAUAAACUCAUAAAAUGGCGUAGUCAUUUAAGAUUUUAGACCUUCAAAACUACCCUAAUGUAAAUGUAGCAGCAGAACCUGGAUAUAAUCAAAACAGAAAAGGUACAGAAAUAAGCAGUGGAAUUCCAACAUAGAAAAUAAUGAAUUAUUUACUUGCCUUAAAAGCACCUAACAAUUCAUUCCCUUGCUCUCCCCCAGCUUCCUUCUCCUCCACUUUCUCUGCUCUUUCAAGAAUUUCAUCAAUAUCCAUACUUAGGAGUCUUUUCUUGCUUUCUUCGUCGUUUCUGUCCUCUUUAAAGAGUUCCUCAGCCCCAAAUCUUAAAAUUGCUGAGAGCUCAUUCUGCAAUCAAGAAAGGUGAAAAAAAGUGUAAGUGCAAUAGUUCUAAGGGACAAUAGAACAGCAACUAACAGAAUGUUAGAAUGCCACGAUAAUCAUACAUACAAGAAUUCAGCCUACAAUUGAAUACCCAUAUUUAGGAUUAGAAACAUAGAACAGUACCAACAAAAAACAUGAAUUAUGGUUUGAUUAUGUUCUUACUUUAUCAAAAUAACUCCCUUUUUUUGUUUCUUUCUUUUCCAAUCUACCCUCUGCAUUUAGUUUUUGGAUCACCAAAUGGUCGAGAACCUAUAAAGAGCAAAUUUGACAAAAAAGGAUAUGUUAACUAAUAGGGUUAAAUACUAUUAUACAACAUAACAGAAAGUCGACAUAUUAGAUGUGAGUAUCAUGUGUGGAUACUAUUAUAUGCAAAUGAACAUGACUGUUAGGAUGAAAGUAAUGAAGUGCACUGAUAGAAAUCGACUCCAAGAAUCUACCAUCUUCUUCUUAGCUCUCUCUAGGAUAUCUUCCUCAACGCUCUUGCUUGUCACAAAUCUAUAGAUGUUAACAACUUCUUGCUGCCCAAUUCUAUGAGCUCUGCUCAUUGCCUGAUAAAUCAUCAAACAAUUAAGCAACAUCUGUUUCCUCUAAACUAAAUAAUUCAAUUGAUCGAAACGAAGAUCCAUGAUGGUAGUAGAGAGACUAAAAAAACAUUGAGUGAAACAAGUUUUCAUUCUGCUUAUAACCUGUAGGUCAUUUUGAGGAUUCCAGUCUGAAUCAAAUAUUAUAACUGUGUCAGCAGUUGCAAGAUUGAUGCCUAAGCCGCCAGCCCGAGUUGAAAGAAGGAAGCAGAAAUCAUCACUACCAGGUGCAUUGAAAUGUUCCAUUGCCUGCUGACGCAACUCAGCCUUUGUGCUACCAUCAAGCCUUUGAAAUUGGAACCCUCUGAGUGACAUGUAUUGAGCUAUUAUAUCCAACAUUCUGACCAUCUGCAGCAGUUGACCAAUGCCACAAUUCAUUUGUCAUUUAAUAUGCUUGUAUACCUUUUAAGGUAAAAUAAGUCAAUUUAAAUAAUAUAUCCAAGACCAAGUUUUUCAAAUGGUCACAGCACCCUGCUAAAAAUUCAGCAAGGUGUCAGUUGAGGCUAGUACUCAGUGUUUGAUUCAAUUGUGAGGUAUAACGGAAUUUUAGAAAGUGGAAAUGAAAAUGCAUCAAGGAAGUUAAGCAUCAUCAGUUCCCAAGGAAACCGCCCUGGUACUUGGAAAAUGCCUAAUCAAUUGCGUACAUUCACUAAACAAAUGAUGAGUUUCCAUAUCCAAUCCAAAUUUGACUACAUAGGCAAUAAAUCAUGAAUACCAAGAAAAUGCACACUACAAACCAUCAUUUACCCUCAUUACAGUUAAUCAGCUUAUCUACAUUUCAGUACGAGGCUGACCCAGAAUUGAAGAGAUCAUAAUAUCAUUUAUAGCUUUGAAGGGAUACCUAAGUAAUUUACAGUCAGCAAGCAUAUCUAUGCAAGGAGAAUAACAACAAAAAAGCUAAUGAAACAAACCUGGGAGAAAAUAAGGACACGAUGUUUUGUCUCGUGCAAUCUGACGAGUAGUUUGUCAAGAAUAACCAGCUUUCCACUGCUUAAGAUAAUCCUCUCCAGUUUACUGCUAUCAUUGGUACUGAUGUCCCCGCCAUAACCAUGAUCCGCACUUUCAAAUAGGAAGGGGUGGUUGCAGCAUUUCUUCAACUCUACCACAAUAUUCAGAAGUGAAACCUGAAAACAUAAAACAACUAAUAUUAUCAGUUUUCAACACAGUAAAAAACAACAUGCAGCUUCAGUCACUUCUAAUCCAUAAACAAAGUGCCUCUAAUGUUUGACUCAAAAUUCAGUGAUGUCACCAAUAGCUGUUAGAAUUACUUUCCAAGCCUAAAGUUCUAAUAAUAUUCAUGAUUUCAUCGCAGACACUAACCUGAUUGCCACGAACUCCUUUGUUCAGGUCAUGGAAGUUACGUUCCAAAAUCCAUUUAUAGUAUCUAAACAUAUGCAAAAAUCAAAAAUUACAAAAGCUGUCAAGAAAUAAUCCAGAAGAACAUCACUUUAUCACAAAUGGAAAACAUCGCUCACUGUUUCUGGAGAGGAGACAUUUCAACCCUCAAAAUGCGCUCUAUUUUGGGAGGCAAGGAUUUCUCCACAUCCUUGAUAACUCUUCUGAGAAUGUGAGGCCUCAAUUCCAUGUGAAGAUUAGCGAGCUACAAAAAACCAUAGAAACUUAAAUUAACUAAGUGUAGAAAAAUGUGUGUGUUUGUGUGUGCCAACUGUGAAGAAAAAGCAAAUACAACAGUGUAAUGUACCUCAUUUUCAUUAAAUGAGCUAAGAUUCUUAUAAUUGUGAACAAAAUCAUCCUUACUCCUGAACUUGUCAGGAUCAAGAAAAUGAAGCAGAGCCCUGGCACAUUUUGAGAAAAAACAAAAAUCAAUUAAACCAGGCAAACAAAAGAGGUCUGCAGCAACUGAGGGAGAAAACACUAGAGAGGAAAAAUUAAACAAAAAAGGGAAAAAAUCAACAAUGAACUUUCUUUGAACAAAACAGAGCAAUGAAGACAGCUCUCAUGUAAUGCUGGCUUGCAAGCCAUCAUAAACAAUCAGCAGAACCAACAUGCCAAUGACCUCCUAAUGAAUUCCAUUUUCAAAAUAUGUGCAAAAAAUAGAUUUGACCAACAUAAAAAUAUCAUAACUAGUAUCAGCAGUUUUCCCCAGACAAAGGGUGCUUAUUUCACACAUGUUUAAUAAUGUGCCAAAACAAAUAGUUAAUGAAAGAAAAUACCAAAACAAGCGAACAGAACAUGUGAUUGCACCAGCAGCUCUUAUCUGAAGAGUUGGUAAGAUAAGGACUGUAUUUAAAAAACACAGUCUAUGCUAUAAACAGUUUCCUAAACUUUAUAGGCCUUCAUAGUUAUCAUAUCUGGGGGGCAAAUUUGGCACAGGAUAAUUCCUGAAGUUUGAAUGCAAGAACAAUAACAGUGAGUUAGAGGAAAUGAAUAAAAACCAUAGCUCUUCCACACUGUUCUGCAAUGGAGUGCCAGUAAUUAGCAAUUUGUUCUUGGUGCUAAAUUCCUGCAGGAAAAAGAGAAUGAAUUAUCCAAAUAACAACUAAAUCAACCAAUCACAGCAUACAUACAAAAUACUGGCACCAAAAUUAAUUGUAAAAUGCCAUUACCAAAAGAGUUGUGUACAACUGCGCUUCACUGUUCUUUAACCUAUGAGCUUCAUCAACCAUUAAAUAAUUCCACUUAAUCUUGGACAGAACAGCCUUGUCCUUCAGAACAACUUCAUAUGUGGUCAACAGAGCACUGAAUUUUAUAGGCUGGCCAACUCUCUUAUCAUUGUAAAAUUCGUAUUGCUGACAAACCUGAAACCAAGGCUCAAACAUGAAUAAACACAACAAAAAAGCUAUAAUGAAACAAAAAAAAAACGAUAACCUCCAAUUGAAAGUAACACCUUGCAACAUGAGUUAAAAGAACAUUACAAAUAUUGACAGGGUGAAAACCAAAAUCCUUUUCUAUCUGGGCCUUUUUCCCUACCAUCCCAUUUGUUUAAAGACUCGGCUUAUUUUAAGACAACAGGUUAGAUUUUUAACCAUGCCAGUGUAGCCAAAAAACCUUGUCUCAGAAGGCAACAAGGGAGAGGAAUCCCAACUCCCUAUCUCAUCACAGUAAGAGUUUCACAGACAACCAAAACUAAUCUACAAUGGGUACUGGAGAAUGCCACCAUAAUGCAUGAUUUUUCUAGGUCAUGAAAGAAAAUGUUUGAUUAACCAGAUCAUGAAGCACAGCAGCCAUCAUUAAUUACAGCGCUUUUAUUCACAGACAACUUCAAUAACCCCCCCCCCCCUCUUUUCUGUCUUGCACUGAGGUAAGGCCUGCCUCCAAAGCUUCUUAAGGAUAAGAAAAAGGCUACUGGCAUGCAUACACAGCUGUCACCAACUAAAUCAGGGCUUUUGAGCUUUCCCACUCAUUCCCCAUAUCAAGAUUUUUUGGAUGCCUGAGCUUUAAUAACAUGGAGUAUGGACUGCUUGAUAAGUAGCAAUUUUUUUUAAAGAAGAAAGUAUCUAGAGAAAAAAAAGUACAGUACAGAGCUGGAGAACAAGACAUUCAUCUAAGAAAAAAGCAUAGAUAAUCUAGAUCAAAGUGAUAAAUAUUCCAAUCUCUUCUAGUAUUCCCUAGAGAAUUGACCCUAAAAGGACCUGCUGCUUGACAUUGAAAAGAAGCCAAGAAAUUAAACUAACUUUCAGGUUUUAAGACUUUGAUGACUUCUAGAACUCUUUGGUCAAAUUCUUCUAGUUUUUAAUUUACCAGCACUGACAACAAUAAAACCAGUACUUUGUGCAAUCUUUGCACCUUCCUGCAGUUAUAAUUGACAGCAUCUCACAUGAUCGAUAGUAAUAUAACUAUAACUUAGACAAAUAUUAUGAUUUUAAGAUCCGAGAAUCUAAUUUGAAUUGCACAAAACAAUUAAAGACCAGAUGCCGGUAUCAAGAAGGAAUUAAAUAAAUAGAUUAAUCUCAAAGACAUGAAAAAAUGACAAACCUCCCGACUAGCACGAGUACCAACAUAUACAAUAACAUUCAUAUCAGGAAGCCACUUUCUAAAUUCUUUAGCCCAGUUCGACAAAGUUGAUAAGGGUACAACAACAAGAAAUGGCCCGGAGAUCUGCUGAGCAUUCUGCAGAGUGAGAAAAUUUGAAAGUUUCGUAACAUGAUCAGUUAACAUGGUCUAAAAAUAUUUAAAAAAAAUUAUUUAAUGCAAUUAGAAGGGAUCCCAAGAAUAAAACAAUUAGAAAAAAAAAUGCAGGAAUAAAAAAAUAAUUAAACAAAUUCCUUGGGUUGUUCAGGAAAAGAAAGGGUUUUACCUGCAAAAAACCAAGCAUGGAAACUGACUGAACUGUUUUUCCGAGACCCAUCUCAUCAGCUAAAAUGACAUUUGUAUCAUUUCUCCAACUAAGAAUGCAAGUGACUAAUUAGGAAAUGUACCAAUGACAUUAGGUUUCAAGUUAGUCAACAAUUUUCCCUUCAAGCAAAAGAUAAUCAUACCUGUUAACUAGAAAAUUCAAACCCUCAAGCUGGUAAUCACGAAGCUUUCCUCCUCUCAACCAUUCAGGCUGUUCAUCAAGUUUCCUUAAACUUGCUAAGAGAAAAGAAAAAAAAAACACACAUGCAUUUAAAUUUAUUUGCACCAUAUCACACUAAACAUCAUGCAGAGAAUUUCUGGCGCGGUAAAGACUAUAGCUAGUUUUUUUCUUUUACAGAGAAUUGCCCGCAUAAGUUUUUUUUUAUUUGAAUGAAGAGUUAUGCUAGCAAAAAUUGGAAUUAGAAAUUGAAAGAAAACAAAAGGAUAUUUGACUAUUAGAACAAAAACAACUGCCUACAAUUUGCUAGUAGGGCAGUAACAUAAAGCAGCAAAGCGAAAACAAUCCUCAGUUUUCAGAGCAGAACUUGAUCUUUUUAAAUUACAAUGCCACUCAUUUUGCAGGUCGUAAUUAUCCAACUUUUCAACUGACACACAGUCCCAAAAAACACUGGCCACACCAAGUCACAGACCUUUUCCUUUCUUGCGCUGUAGAUCCACCAUUUUCCCCUGUACAGCAAUUGCAGCCUCACGUGCCUGCAAAAGAAAUGGUAGCUACAAAUGAGUGCUACUUCAUUCAUGUCAAUUGCAAAAUGCAAAGCCAUAAUUUUCUAAGAAAAAUGUUGACCAAAAACACAAAUUAUUUGUGCCAGACCUUGUACUCGUCAAUAGCAUCUUGUGCAAAAGCAAUAUCUACAUCCUUUUCCCUGCACCACACAUCAUUGACUAUUAAGUAGCAGAGCAACUCUCACAAACACCUAUGCAUGCAUCACUACUUCAUCAGUGGAUAUCUAGAGGCUAGGCUAAUUUCACAUGUAUGUUGUUGAAUCCCAUAAGCCAGGAGAUAAGACCACGUCUAGGAUGUGAUUAUCAAUAACAAAAGGUACAAAAGAAUUUCAGAAGUACCACCAAAAAAUCACAAGACUGGUAUAGUUUAGAAUACCAGGUUGCUUCAGCAUAAGAUAGUCCUCGCCACUUGACAAUAUACUCCGGCACGACAUUACCAGAGCUAUCUUUAGUAAUUCGAUCAGCAAUAAUUCUCUCCACCUACAAAAACAUAUGAGCAACUAGCAAGAAUUGGAGAGUGACAAGAAGAUUUGUGGAAUAGUGUAAGAGGAAAAAAAAAAAAAAGAACUGGUCAAAGACUUAUAAAACAAUGCUGCAAGACAAACCUGACUAUUUUGCUUGAUUAGAUCCAAAUCCAUUUCCUUGCUCACGUCAUUGACCUCAAUCUGAUAGAUAAAAACCAAACAUUUGAGGAUAAACUAAACCAUCCCAAAAAACCAAUUUGCCAUGCAGGUUUCUUUUGUAUUGAAGUAAAAUGUGUAAAACCAGAAAAAUAAUUCUGAUAAAAAUAUGGAAGGAACAGUUCCAUGAAUUAAAAUGCAAAUACUGUUUUCCCAAAAUUAAAAAUUCAAGAAUUUCUAGUUAAGAAACAGAAAAUGCACCAUCAGCAACGGCAAACCAAUUCGAAAAACUUAGAUCCAAAAAUUAAAGUAAAGGGUAAAUUCUUUCUGAAUUUAAAUGUAUGAAAGACAAAAUACAAAGGCACAUAAAUUACCAUUCAGUAUAUUUUGGUUAGAAUUCAGUAUUUUUUUCAUCCUGUAAGAACUAACCAGCUUAUUCAUAAUGUAAGAAAAGUUAAAAAAGGAUCAAAUAUUUCUUCCAGUUAUAAGUGCCCCUCAAAUAUCAUCACACCAGUGUUGGACUUGCUAAGCCAUCUUGACAAAAUGAUCACCUGAUUUUCAGGAAACAAGGCAACUAAAUGCCAACCGUAUAACCUAUUCAGUCUGGAUCCUUAUAAAUAAUGAUCUAGAACAGCAUGUGAAAUUAAUGAGCCACAGAAGCUAUUUCAUUGUUAUAGAAAAAAAAUAAAUCUGUGCAUUUCUCGUAAUUACAGGUAUCUCACAUUCAGAUCAGGCAACAGAUGUAAAUUAUUAUUGAGUGUUUUCAUAUCAUAUCAAAACAUGCACAUCCCAGCAUCUCUCUUUCUCCUCUCUGAUAUUAUUAAGAAAAGAAAACUUCAAAACCCUUUUAACUUGUAAAGCAAAAGGUUUACCUCCUCACGUGUAAAUGAUCUCCUGUACCUCACAUCUUCCAUCACUUUUUUAGUGUAGUUCAGUACCUUCUUAAAACCACUUAGCUGGUGACACAACAGCAGACAAUGUAAACAACAGAUCCAGGGGGGGGAGGAAAAUUUUCAAAGCAGAAUAAAUUAAACUUAAACCAAAAAAUGCAUUUGAUUAUUAGAGCUUAAAUUGCAUGCAUAAGAAACAGAAAUAAUAGCAAUUAUACAUUUUGUAAGUCAGAAAAUGAUUUCCAUUGGCAGUGCAUAUGUGACUGGCCUUUCCACUUUAUCAAGAACUCCAUUUCUUUCCAAUCAGGCACAGAAUCAAACAGGUAGCUUAACAGAACAGGCUCCGUUGAUCUAUUGUUCCUCAUUGCAUCUUCAGCCGUGCCCCUUGGCUGAUGCCACAGUACCCUUUCAAUGGAGUCACCAUCUUCUUCUUCAACUUCAUCCUAUUUUGGAGAAGGCAAACAAAAGAAAGAAUAACAAUAGCAUACCAAAACUUGGUGACGUAAUGAGAGAAUCCAUUAAAGCACUGAAGCCUGUGAAAUUUUUAAUAUUCAAAUCCAAAGUGCAACCACAAUUGCCAAAACAAUAAAAAUAACAUAAAGAAAUAUCCGAAGUAGAAACAAGUACAUAUAAAACUAGAGCUAAAAGAUCAGGAGUUCUGGUUCAAAUGAUUCCCGGUCAUCAUUCACCUUUCCCAAAAAAAUAAUUUUUGACAGGCCUAUCUAGGGCCUAUUUGGGUGUGGUAGAGGUUGAUUUUCAAAAUGUUUUUCGCUUAGAAUGCAUCAAAAUAAUGUUAUUUUUAUUUUUUAAAAUUCACUUUUGGCAUCAAAACAAUCUAAAAGCAUCAAUAGAAAUAAUUUCAAGCUAAAAAAAAAUCAUUUUUUUUUCAAAAGCAUGGUUGGACCGCAAUGCUAAGCAGGGCCCUAGAAUCCUCAAACUAUAACACUAGGACCAAUUUAACCUCAUUGAUAGGAUUUUGGCCAAAACAAUUAAAAAUAAAAUAUUUUGCUAAACAUAGAAACACAUGGAUUCUACAAGUAUUUCCCAGUGCAAAUGUCCCCUAGAGAGCAUACAUUAUUUUAAGAGUUUGUCCACAGACACGGCAAACCCAGCUUGCUGGCUAGGGCAGGAAAAAGAGAGGCCUAAUAACAAACAAACACACGUGUAAAAACAAAGUUUUUUUGAGUUAAAAAAAAAUUACUUUCACUUUCUAGGGAGUUCCUGGAAAACUUGCAAGAACUCAUGCAACUUCAAUUAAGAACUUGAUGAAAAGAAAUAUAAGAAGCAAACUUACAACAUAUAUACAUAUGUAUAUAUAUGGAUCAAAACAAGCAGAAAAACUCAUAUAUGCAAGCCCUAAUCUAUAAGAUGAUAUUUCUAACCAAAACAACUAUAUCAUAAGAUUUUUUCAUCCACGUAAAAAAAAAACGAAGCAUUGUAACAUCGUAAAUUAUAGUAUGAUAAACUGCACCUUUAGGGCAUUCUUCUUUUUCCCUUCACCAAUCUCUUCGCUUUCAUCACUUUCAACAUACGAUACCUUACGAACUGACCUACUUGAAGUGCGAACCUCAUUGUUUCUUCCACCAAUGUUUGUUGACAUAGUGGACCGAGCAUUAGAUUUGCGGAGAUGCUCACCUCUUUGAGUCAUGUUCUUGAAAUCUUUGUCGCUGUCAGAAUCCUCUGCCGAAUACUCAUCCUCUUCAAAUGAUGUUUUCCCUCUCUUUUGUCGACCGGAAGCACGUAAUGAUGUGUGCUCUCUGGCAGAUUUUGUAUUACAUCCACCUUUACCCUGUUGCCUACCCUUAGGUUUUUUUGUGUAAUACGAAUCAUCAUCAUCUUCAUCAUCUGAGAUAACCCAAUCAUCACUGUUAACUUCUUCAUCUGAAUCUUCACUCUCCCCAUCUUUAUCCUGGUUUUGGUGAAAAAGCACUUCAUCAGGGUAAAAGGAAUAGGUGUGCAAUAUUGGUAUGAACUUUAUUAUCUGAAUCCACAGGCUCUUCUAGUCAUGCCUUGCAGCAUGCACAAAAAUGUAAGUGUGCCACAUUAUAAAAAUAAGGCAAUAAACUAACAGAAGAUUGUAAGGAUAAUACGAAUCAAAGAACAAUAAAUUGGACUUAAGAACAGCAGAUUGAAAUAAAACAUCAUGAAAAUUGCCCUGACAAGGCUAGUGAUAAACCCACGUGCUGUACAAAAUACAAAGGCAAUGAACCAUACUUCAAAUAACAACUAUGAAAGUGCAACGACAAUAACCUUGCCCCCCAUGUGACCACUCAAGGCGCCAUAAUCAGGGUCAAAAUCUGCAUCAUCAGGAUCAUCUUCUGCUAGCAAUAUCACAAAAAUUUCAGCUCCAAUGUUAAACAGUAAAAGAAAUUACCAACUACUAAAUAAUAUCCAAGCAUCUCAUAACUUGUUUUAGUGAAAAUGGUAUUGAAACCUAACAGAAAAUGCAACAAUAACAAAGAAAUUACCAUCUUCGUCUUCUUCCUCAUUAUCACCAUCACCAUCAUUAUUGUCAUCAUCAUAACCUUCACUAUUGUGUAAACCUCUAGACCUCCUCCUGGACACAUUAUUCUUGAUUGGUACAGGCUUUGAUUGCAACCUAGAGCUCAAAUCAACGGGUUUGCUAAACCCCCUAUAACGCAUCAAGUCACUUUGAUCCUCCCCGUCCUGCUCAUAGUAUUCAUCAGACAACAUCUCAUCUGCAGGGACAUCAGAAUGGCCUUUCCCACCCCUACCUACUUCUUUUUGUCCCUCUUCAUCUUCCGAUUCUAAUCUACCAUCCCUUCCAUUUGAUACAUUAUCUUCUGACCCUUCUGCAUUUCUAUCCUCUGACUUGGAAUCCUGCCUGGAAUCGGAUGCCCCAGGAGUAGCCAUGGGUUGACAGUCCUUCCAAAAACUGGAACCCCAUUUUCCAGCCACAUUUCUCCUUCCAGAAGGUUGCAACUCUGAAUUACUCACACCAGCACAAUUGUCAGCAGCCACAUCACUCUGCAACUUACCUGCAGCAUCUGGUUCGCUUUCAUAUUGCGCAUCCAUGUUCAUAUCCAGUUCUCUUUCACUAGAAUUCACAUCUACAUCCUCAUUGCCUAACAUUCUACCUGUACCCUGACCUUGCACUUUUCCUUCUAGGACACUCUGUGAAACUGCUUCAGUUGUAUAGUUCCUGCAAAAAGCCAUCCUCUCACAUGGAAUUUCAAAGGUAAUUAUUUCCCGCCUUUCCCUAUCUGAAAUGCUUGCUGUGAAUACAAUGCUGCGGGUAACUUUUCUGUUGUCUCUUACAGUCUCCCUCAAGGCCUGGAAACAAUAGAAACCAAUAAUUAAUUAAAAUCAACAUACAAAUAAUAAAAACUAAAAUUGCGCUUCACAAAGGUGUUAGCAAAAAACACACUAUGAGAAAAAAAAAAUUGUCUUCAAAAAGAAGAGUUUAACUUUUAACCCCAUACUCUUCACUGUAUUAACUAGUAAAAAACAAAACCCAAAAUUGUAAAAGAAGAAAUUUCUUUAUGAAGUGAAGAUUAUCGGGUUCUUUUCAGAUAGCAGAUAUCUGAGUAAUCAAAUCUUGAUAACAAAACCUCGUUCAUUCCACAAUACAUUCACUAACUAGGACUGAAGAAGAUUCUGAUCACAAUUUAAACUGGCAACUGAUGGUAUUCAAAAACUAUAACUAAAAUCGGAAAAAAAAACACUUACUUAAACCAAAACCAAUGGAAAAAGACUAAAGACAAUCAGAAACAAGUUCCUAAGAGUUCAGAUGAUACUAGAAAUGAAAGAAUUAUCAGAGCAGGCUCAAUACAAUCAGAAACCGAAGCGAAAUAAUCACUAAACCCACUAACAAACAAAACAAAAGAUGAAAACAAGUCAAACAAAGCAAACUAUAGAUCCAUGAGUGAAGCCGCAAAAUCAAAUGACUACACACUUAAACCUUCAAUUUAGAAACCCUAAAACGAUCAAGAAACCCUAAAUUCGAAAUCGGAAACGUUAAAUUCACGUUAGUAAGCAUCGAAAAGAGAAAAUCGUGCCGAAAAUUGCAGCCUGUUAUUAAACAAGAAGCUAACCUCAGUAAAUGAAGAACCAAACUGAUUUAUCUAGCUAAUUAGGUCAAGAUACUCUUAAAAAAAAACAGGAGAGGGUGCGCAGUAUAAUAUCGGAGCACCUUUCAAAUCGCCGGCGACCAAUGAGUUUGAAAAAAAAAAAAACGGUGUCGUUAAGGAUGUUUCGGUUUAAAUGUUAACGGGUAUGGAUUUUUUAGUAUGGGCGGCGGCUGUUGCUAAGAUACGCGGAGGGUGAGGUUAAGAACGGUUCCCGAUUGAAAGGAAGACGACGAAUCGAUUUUGGGAUUGAUCGUCGAUUGGUGUCCGUGAGAAAAAGGAGAGAGAGACACCCACAAUGUGUUCGUUUUUUUUUCUAGAGAGAGAAAGUUAAAGAUUUGUUUCUUGUGUUUUUUUUUUUUUUUGAGAGGGGGGAGAGCAGAAAUAAAAAAUAAUAAUAAUUGAUUUCGGUUUUGGAGCUGUUAUUUAUUUUGGAGAAAAAACGUGUUUAUAGUUAAAAAAAAAAAAUCUCUCUUAGUUUUGUGUAUUUUGGAGCCAAUGGCAUGAGCCCACCUGGCGAUUAAUCGGACGGUUAGCGUGAGACGAGUUCCCAGGAGUGGUGUCCGCUGCUUUCAAUUUCAAGGGUUGAAAAAAUAAAAUGCAAAAUGGGGGUCGAGCUGAGUGAAGGAAAAUGCCCUUGCCGAGUUUUUCUUGCCCUCCAGUCCGUGGAUGACGAAAGGUUGAAAAAAACAUGUAGAAAUUUAAUUUUGUAGAUAUUGAAUCAAUGUUACUAUUAAACUUGAUAUUUAAUAUUAUAGAAAAUAUUUUUUUAUUAAAAAUAUAAAGAAUCCGUGAUAAAAAGUGAGAACAAAACAAAAACUAUAAUACAGACGCUCCAGUACCUUAGCUAUAACAAUUCAAUUCUCAUAAAACUAAAUACAUUAACUUUACUAUUUUAUUUAACAAAUUUCUAAAAUACUAGAUGAAUUCAUUGUAGCAAUAAACAUAAUUUACUAUGAAUUACUAAGUAAAUUUAUCUUUGUGCCCCUCAAUGGAAAGGUUAGAAUGCUAGGAUAUAGUGGUAUUUUGAUCUUUUAUGUUGACCCAUUGGUCAUUAAAAAAUUAAACAUAGAUAUUAUUGUCUUUUUAGAUUAUUUUAUAAGGUAAAAAUAUUUUUCUACUCCUAAGGUCAACAAAAUUUAAACUUGCUAACCAAAAGUUUUUUUGACUUUGCAUAAAUUUUAAAAUAAGUAAAAAACUUCUUUGCCUUUAAAAAAUACAAAAUAGCUUCUUUGCAUGUAGAGGAGUUUUGGUAUUUUUCACAUUGAUUUAUUUGUUAUUUCCAAUGUUAUAUGAGGUAUUUUAGUAAUUUAACAUUUAUUUUUAAUAUUAAAUUCAAAAAAAGAUGUUGGCGAGUGUUUUUCACCCGUUGGUGGCGUCCGCACUCUUUCGACGACUCGUGUGACGCCACUAUUUGUCCGAAAAUGACCUUCUGUCGUGUCACUAGAAGCGGCGUCACGUGCUCUUCCUCCUAGUAUGGAGCGUGUUAGUGAUAAACCGACAGUUUGUCGCUAGUGAUCGUUUCUUCUUUUUUCUUCCUACUUUUCUCUUUCUUGUUAAAGUACAUGUUUUUCCUUUUUUUCUUUUUAUUUUUCAAUUUCAGUCCUUGUGUUUAUUAUUGCUCUUUGUCAUCGUUCACUCAUUUAGAAAAGUUUUUUUAUUUUCUCAAUUCAGUCAUUAAAUUACAAUUUAUCAUACAUUGUUUUCUCCAAUUUGGUAUUUAUUUGCUUGAUUUGUCAUUUUUACCCCUGGAUUUUUUUGUUAAAGUUUUAUUAAUAUUCAAUUUCAUCAUUCAAUACUACUUGAAUACAGAAAGGUCCUUUAAAAGUCUAGACUUGAUCUCCUUUUUUUUGCUUGAUUUUCUUUGGACUUGAUUUUUUGACUUGGAUACCAUAUAAAUUUUUUGCUUGAUUUUCUAUUUUUUAUAUGUAAUUUGAAAGUACUGAUGAAUAUUGUUGUGGUUUAGUAGGAAUGUUGGGACAGUUUUUUUUUUCAUAUGUUUCCAAGCCUAAACAAGAGAUUUUAUGGUUUGAUUUUAAGAUUAGGGAUUAAGAAUAACAAAACUUAUGGCACUUUUUGGUCUCCUAAUUUUUAAUGCCAAAAAAACAAAUUUGACCGAAUCGAACCAAUUUGAUCUAAACCAGGUUUUGGUUCCGUCCGAGUCAUAUUCUCAGGAAAUAUCAUUUCCUGACUUGAUUAGAUUUUUUUGCUCAUAUUGUACUGAACCAAACUGUGAACACCCCCUACAACAACAAACAAAAACAACAAACAAGAAAUAAAGAUCUUGUUUACACCAAUAUCAAUUCUUCAACCAAUCUACAAAAGCAUUUUAUGAUAUGACAUUUUGCAAAUGGUUAUAACUCACGUCAUUUUCAUUUUAAUAUUGAAAAGACAGAACACUUUCCUCUUCUAUAGAAAGCUAAUGAUAUGACAUUCUUUACAAACAAAAUGUUAAGCAUAAGUCUAAAAGGCGAGUGUUUUUUAUUAUGCAAGGCUUUAUUGUUCAUCCUCUUGCACAUUGUUAUGAAUAGGUUGUGCAAAAUUUUUUAUUUUUUCAACAUGGUACUCGAACUUGUUUUUGCUGAUUUAGUUCUAAUUAAAGAAUAAUUGAUUUUGAUUGUUAUGAAAUCAUGGGGUUGAAAAAAAAAUGAUCGAAAUGAAAAAAACAUCAAACAUGGGUGGCGUGCCAUAAAUUUCACAAAAGAAGCAUUUUGGUCCCUUGACUUUAAAAAUCACGCAAAUUAUAUAAUUUCAGUACCUUAAUAUUUUUUCAAUUUAAUUUUGGUACAAAAGUUUAUUUUUUGUUAUUUUUUAGUUCUUGGCUGAGAGAAGAGAGAGAGAGGUCACUAGAUUCCGGCGACAGAGAGUGAAAAGUAUUUUUAACACCGAUUUAGACCACCAAAACAAAUGAUAUUUAUGUUAAAUGGUUUCAUUUGAUUAUGAAAGUUUAUAUUAGGUGUUUUUUACCUUUGAGUUUUUUGGUAAAAAAAACUUAAGUCCCAAUUUUUUAUCUACCACAGUGGCUGGAAAUUGGGCAAAUCAGAAGAUGUGUCAUCUAUCUCAACAGGCAACACAUCGUUUGAUUUUUUUCCAAUCAAUUUAAUAUGUGUCUCUAUUUUUGUUAUCAUUUUCUUCAAUAAAAAAUUACUUUAAUAAACAAAUUUAGCAAACACAGUUGAGUAAAUGUCUCGUCUUUCAAUAUUAAAUAUCUUGAUAAAUACAUGUCUAUUGAUUUUUCAAGUUUUAUUUUCAGGCAUCGUUGAUGACUUUUUAUUUAUUUAUUCGCACACAUAGUUCUGAUUUAUUUGAUUACAUAUAUGUUCAGAAAAAAUUAUUAGAAUUUAAAUUUUUUUAAACUACAAAAAUGCGUUAAAAAACCUAUACAUAUAAUUUUUUUAUAGGAAAUAAAAACACCUAGCCCGCGACAGAGCACGGGUCACAUAAUUCGUAAAUACUGAACACCAUCAAUUGCAUUGCCCCCAUUGAAUUUCCUCUCAAUUGUUGCAACAAUUAUAAGCAUGCAAAUAGCUUGAAGUGGAAUCAAAGUGUCAAAUACCCCUUAUAAAGUAAAAUAAAAAUGACAGGGUUGACUAAAAUUAAAGAACCCAUUUUAUCAACAUCAAAAAAAAUUAUUUAACCACUUUCACUUACACAAAAUAUAUUGGUUUCCUAAUUUAAAGGACAUUAUUUCCAUUAAAAAAAUAAAUAUAUUAUGUGUGUACCGUGCACGUGAUACAAUCAUUUUAACUUUAAUAACAGUGAAUGACAAAAUGGAGUAUAACAUAAUAUUUGGAUAUAAUUCAUUUAUUUAAAAAUUAAAUCAUAAUUUUAGAAACUUUAGUGAGAAAAUAGGCUAAAACAUAAGAACAACUUGACAACUGUUUUAAUGUCAGUUUAUAUCAUAAAUAUAUUAGUAGGUAAGAUACCACAACAACAAAAUACAAACCAAUACCAGUUGAUGGAUGAUUCAACAUAUAGAAUGCUCCGAUUUUGAGAAGAUCUACAUAAAAGUUGGCAUUUAUAAGAACAUCUAGAAAGUACACCAGCAGUUAAAUAAUUAACACAAUUAAAAAAAAAUACAGACAAAAAAAAUUGCACACCAAGUUACCAACAAUAACCUAUAAACUUUUCUUUUACUACUUUUUUUUUAUAUCCUAGACACAACAAAAAGAGGGAGAGAGAGAUUGAUGUCGGGUGGUUCGAGAGAGAGGAGAGAAUGAUAAGUUUUUUUUUUGUUGGAUUUGGGUGAAAGAAAAGUUAAUUGAAGUAGUAUUUAUACUCCUUCAAAACUCUUAAAAUCGAUGCAAAUUUGUGAGUUUGCAUUAUUUUGCCGAGUUUAUUGGAAUUGAGUUCGAUAUUACUAAUUUUCGAGUUUUUAAUCCAAUUUUGCAUACUAAAUACAAAUCAACUUAUAAAAUCAUAUGAUUUUACUAAUAAACUUAUAAUUUUAACAACCUUGAUUGCAAUAAUUAAUAAUGUCAAGCAUAGUCCUACGAAAUGAUCAUAUUCAUGAUCAUUCAAUCCAAUUAAACCAAGUUAUAGUCACAAACACCUUACUUAAUAUUAAAUGUAGUCGUGAUGGUAUAACCACACAAAUUAUAAGAAACUAAACAUACGACUUGUUGGAUAAAUAUUUUUUAAUAUAAAAAAUAAAAUAUAUAGGUUUUCUUAAUGUUGUUUUAUAUAAACAAAUUAUAAAUGUAAAUCAUAAAGCUUAUUCAUUCAUUUAAUUCGAUAAAUUAAAAAUUAUUUAUGCCAAUAAAUACAAGAAAAUACUUGUUAAUGAUAAUUAAAUAUUAAACUGAAAAAUAGAGAGAUAAAUAUGAGUUAAGAUACUUAAUAUCGCAACACAAGUUAUGUACCCGUCCGUGUUUGAUAAUUUUUUUAUUAAAAUCAAUUUUUUAGCCAGUCAUACGAUAAUAGAAAUAGAUAAAUACAUAAAAGCGAUUGAAUAAAAUCAUUAGAAAAAUAUUAUGCAAGGUUACACUUAUUAUAAAACAAAUGUUACCAUUUUACAUGAAAACCAAUUAAAAACUAUAUUAUAUUUAACCAAAUACUAAAUUGAAAAGUUGAGAAAUAAAUAUGGAUGCAGUUGUAUGAUAUCGAAACAUAGGUCAUAAAUUUAAAUGUAUUGAAUAACCUUAUUUACUGGAAUCAAUGUUUUAUUUAAGAAAAUGAAAAUAAAAAAGACACGCAUGGAAAAAUGAUUGAAUGGAACUAAAAAAAAAAGCAGUGCUGCACAAAAAAAUAAUACCUCCUGAUAUCAAAUUUUUUUUGAAAUCUUAUUCGUUAACCAGUCAAGAAUUAAAUCAUGUUUUAUUAAAAAACAUUAAUUUUUUUUAUUAAAUUUAAAAAAUACCUAUAAAAACACCUUAUACACCUUACUAAACCCAUUAAUGACCUUGAAUAACAAAAAAAAAAAGGCCAAUAACACAAAAUCAACUUCAAAAUAAAUAGAAAAACUUUUAGGCUUAAAUAUAUUAUCUUAUAGUAAGAAAAACAAAUAACACAGAAACUCUUUUUAUCAAAUUGAACUUGUAGACAUUAAAAUAAAAUUUUUUAUUAUUGUGACGGUUGUUAACUUGGAUUUUCUCUCUCUUUCAUUGCAUUCACUCCUUUUCUCCUAUCUCAAACAUAUAAUUAAAAAUAAUAAUAAUAAAGUUUUAGAUAAUAUUGGAUUUUUUAAAUAUCAGGCACUGAAAGUUAAUCAUUUAAAAAAUACCUUUUGCUCCAAUCCCAAAAUUGCAACCUAGUUUUUAUGAUUUUCUCAACUUGAUCUCCUUCUUUUAAUUUUUUCAUCAGUUUACGAAUCUGAAACAAUUGACCUUUUUAUCAUCUAAAUAAAAAAGAUGACAAUCAAAAUUUAAAAAAAAUCAACGUGCGAGUCUAAUGUGAAAUGCGAGAGGGGUUACACUGUACAUGGUUAAAGUAUUCUCCCCCACGUGGCUUUUUCCUUUAGCUUUUUUCCUAUAGCUGCAUAAUAUACAACCUCUCAUAAAUCUAGAGUAAUAUUUUUUUUUUAUCAUAAUUUUUUUUUUCAAUCUUGUCUUUUAUAUUUUCUUUUCAUUUUUAUAAAAGGAAUUAUACAAAAUAAAUUAUGUCUCCACAUUUUUGCCCUCAGUUGUUAUCAUUUAUGGAUCCAUCGAUUCCUAUAUAUUCAUGUAUUUAACUAUAAAAAAAUAUUUAAAUAAAAAAUUGAAACUUAACCAUAUUCAAAUAAUAAAACAAGAAAAGAAAAGGAGAUAAAAAAAACCCACACACCAAAUAAUAAUAUCCACUAAAUAUUUGACCCGUGUUUCAUCAGGGGUUAAAUUUUUUUUUUCUUAACAAAAAAAUUAUAUAUAGACCUUUUCAAUAUUUUUUUGCAUUUAAAAAAUUUCUAAGUGAAAAAAAAAAUAUACACACAUAUAAUUAAAUAAAUUGAAAACUAUGCGUUUUAAAAAGUGAAAAAAAAACCAUAAAUGACGAUUAAAAAUAAAAACGGGAAAAAUCAAGAGACAUGUGUAGAUUAAGAUAUUUAAUUUUGCAAUACGUGAAAUUUACACGAUUGUGUUUGCUAAAUUUGUUAAUUAAAAUAAUUUUUUUAUUCAAUCAAAUGAUAAUAAAAAUAGACACACACUAAAUUGAUUGAAUAAAAUAAAAGAAAAAAUAAUAAUAUGCAAGGCUGCAUAUAUUAAAAAUAAUUUUUGAAAAUUUUUUUUAUUUUAAAAAAUAAAGUUUAUCUAUACAAAAGAUUAAAAAAAUAUAGAUUAAUCAGAAAAACCUCCUAAAAAAUUAAAUACAUAAUCAAAAAAUAAUUAUUAUUUCAAAUAGGCUUUAUAUAUAACAUAAAAGAGAGAAAAGAUAUUAAUUUAAAUAUAAAUAAAAAUAAUAUUAAGAUUAAUUUUUAAAAAUAGAAACAAAAAAAAAUAUUUUUUCCAAAAUAAAAAUAAAGUGAACAAUGUUGUCCAUGGUAAAAUUUAUAGGAUGAACCUCGACCAUGAACUCGAUUGAAUUUAAUAUUUUUUCCUUUUAAAUUUAUAGCAAAUCUAAAAAAAAAGUAAACAAUAUUAUUCACAGUAAAACAUGAGAGGCGGAACAGUACGGCUGCACAAUGUUCAUUUCACAUAUUUUCCCUUGAAAUUUAUAUCAAAACCUUUUUAAAAAAUAAUGAUCAGUGUUGUCCACAAUAAAAUAUGAGAGGGAUGAACAAUGCGUUUACAUAAAAUUUACCUCACAUGUUUUAGUUUAUUUAAAGUAAACUCAACUAAGUUUAAUAUUUUUUUUAAUGUAUAAACCUAAAAUAAGUGAAUAAUAUCAUUUAUGGUAAACACGUGAGAGUGGAAACAGUAUAAUUAUAUAUUAUUAUUUAUAUAUAUAUUUAUCUUAAAUUUAUAAUAAAAAAAAUAAACAAUGAAUCCACGAGAAAACACGAGUGAUAAAUAGUACAGCUCCACAAUUUUCACCCCCGCUCACUUUUAAUUAUAAGUAAUAAGUAGAAAAAUAGAAAAACACUGUGGUGUACACGGUAUAUAGGUAAUAGCUAUACUGUUGUACAAAUUUGUCUUUUAAUAAAAUAGAAACUCUUUUCACACCCUUUCGUUCUCUAAAAUUCAUCAAACACAAAUCCUAAUCCCAAGAUCACUUAUGAAACCGUUUGGAACGCAGACUGUUGCCAAAAAAAAUUUAAUUAUUUUUUAAAAUUUAAUAUAAUUUAUAUUGUAUCAUUUUGAUUUGUUAAUAUAAAAAUAAUUUUUAAAAAAUAAAAAAAUAUUAUUAAUAUAUAUUUUAAUAUGAAAAAUUAUUUGAAAAACAAUUAUUAUCACACUACCAAACAUGCUCAAAAACUAUUUGGGAACACGUUGUAAAUAGCUUUUUUAAAAAAACUAUUUUUUUUAUUAAAAUUUAUUUUUAUUAAAAUUUAAUAUAAUUUGUAUGUUUUGAAUUGUUUUAAUAUAAUAAUAUUAAAAAUAAUUUUUAAAAAAUAAAAAAAAUAUCAUUUACAACCAUCUCAACACAAAAUAAAAUUAUCUCAAAAGCAACCUAACCAAACAUACUCAACAAUGAGCAAUGCAACAAUCAUCGACGAAAAGUUAAUCCCUCUCUCUCCCGAUCAAAAAUCAAAUUGAAUCCUUGGAACUCGAAAAAGAAAGCAAAAAUGGUGUUGGCACAGUUAGGAGGAAACAUAUCCCGAGCAAUCCAGCAAAUGAGCAAUGCAACAAUCAUCGACGAAAAAGCAUUAAACGAUUGCUUAAACGAGAUCACUCGCGCUCUUCUUCAAUCUGAUGUUCAAUUCAAACUUGUUCGCGACAUGCUAAUAUCAAUCAAAUCGUUGGGUGGAAACCUGUGCUGGUUUGCGCUGAUACGUUUAGAGCUGGUGCGUUUGAUCAGUUAAAGCAGAAUGCAACUAAAGCUAAAAUCCCAUUCUAUGGAAGGUAGUGAUUUUAAGCGGAGGAGAAUAAAUAAUGGGUUUUCCAUCAAUCAAUUAUUUACUUGUUGUUGUUGAUACAGUUAUAUGGAAUCAGAUCCUGUGAAAAUUGGUGUGGAAAGAUUUAAGAAGGAAAAUUGUGAUCUUAUAAUUGUUGGUACGAGUGGACAGCAUAAACAGGAAGCUGCACUUUUUGAAGAAAUCCGUCAAGUUUCUGAAGCAACGGUAUGUUAUUCUUUUAUUAUUGGUUUUGCAUGCUUCGUUGUUUUUAUUAUUAAUCGUUGAUUGUUAUUGCAGUAAAAUCUGAUUCUUUUUCGUUUUGUGUCUUCCAGAAACCCGAACUUGUUAUAUUUGUUACGGAUAGCAGUGUCGGUCAAGUUGCAUUUGAUCAAGCUCAAGCUUUUAAGCAAAUUGUUGCUGUUGGAGCUGUGAUUGUUACCAAAAUGGAUGGUCAUGCAAAGGGCGGUGGCACGCUUAGUGCGUUAGUAUUCUAGAGGUUGCUCUACUGUACCAAAACUUCCUUUUUUUUAAGCAUUUAUAUUGAUUUGUGGUUUACAUUCCAUGUACAGUGUUGCAGCGACGAAAAAUCCUGUCAUUUUUUAUUGGUACCGGAGAGCAUAUGGAUGAGUUUGAAGUCUUUGAUGUUAAACCUUUUGUUUGUCGCCUUCUAGGUAUUCUCGCCUUUGUUUUGAUGUUGUUCUGACCUCUGAAAUUUAUGUGGAUGUUUUUGAUUCUCAUAGUGUUUGCAUUGUUAUGAUCUUCCAGCUAGGUAUGGGUGACUGGUCUGAAUUCAUGGACAAAAUUCAGGAGGUUUUACCUUAAGGAUUAUGUAAUAGCAAUUCCAGAAUCUACUAAAAAUGGGUCCCAUUGGCCAGGUUCUCUACUAACUAUCCAGAAUCUACUAAAAAUGGGUCCCAUUGGCCAGGUUCUCUACUAACUAUCGGAACUCCCUUGUGACUGUGAUAGUAAGUGUGCUAGUGUAUGGACAGUUGAAUAACUUUUGGCCACCGCACUUACUUAGAGAAAAUCAUCUUAGGAGAGUUUUUGUGAUUUGUUGUUAAUUCCUCACCCCAGUUUUUCUGUCUUCCUUUUUUAGCUUUUUCAUGCUUCAGCAUGCAGAUAGUUGAUAAUUAUUAUGCAAGACUUUGUAGUCAGCUUAUUAGUAGAGCAAAACCUUUUUUUCCUUUCAUUUGAAUUAGAAACUGAAGCUGUUGGCAUUUGAUACAUAACAAAAGUACGAGGCGUUUUAUUGGUUCAUGCACAUUGACACCUGCUGGUACUGUUACAUAUGGCUUUCAAGAGUAUAGAAGUUGUACCCCAGCUAGAUACGAGAAUCUAACACAAGAAACCAGAUUCAGCGACAAUAGUGAUUCUUAUUAGUUUGCCUAGUUUAGAUACAGGUCCAAUUAAUUUGUUCCCAGAUUAUUUUAACAUCUUGUUUAACAAGAAUACCUCAACAAGUGAAAGAGAUGAAAAAUGAGAGAAAUUGCAAAGAGGACAAUGAUGCAUACGAGAGUGAGAAGAAGAUAAUGAAAAAGUACGGUAGACAAGGAGAAGACAAGUGGGAAAGUAUGGUAGACAAGGAGAAGACAAGUGGGAAAGUAUGGUAGACAAAGAUAGCUUACAAUACUUCCUAAUUAACAUUUUUCAGUUUCGUGAAUUCUUUAUUUGGUGACCUGUUUAAUUAAAAAAAGUGGGAAAGGUAGUAAACUGUUGCCCUGUCCUUGGUAAUAAAAUUUUGAGAGUAUGAUAUUAGUCUUUACAUCUUGGCUGAAUUUUUUUAUAUAUAUUCUCCCUUUACCAUUCUUCUCCUUCCCUAUUGAGUUGUGACUUUCAGUUUAAUAGUGUUCAGGUCACCUUUUUUAGGUAUUUUCAAUGCUUCCUGGAUUUAGUGCUGAAUUAAUGCCAAAAGGUCAUGAAAAGGAAAGCCAGGUGAAGAUUAAGCGAUACAUGACCAUGAAGGAUUCAAUGACCAAUGACGGUGAGUAAGUGCUAUUUGAUAUAUUCACAUUUCACAUUUAGCUCAUUGCUUUACAUCUUGGAUAUGCAUAACACAUUUUCUUGAAUGAAUAUAUAUUGGGUACUUUGGCUGAUCACUAUUUGUUGCUGAUGUGUUGCAGAGUUGGAUAGCUUGAAUCCAAAGCUCAUGAAUGAAUCACGAAUGAUGAGGAUAGCACGGGGUGCUGGCCGUCCAAUUAGAGAUGUGAUGGAAAUGUGGGAAGAGUACACAAGUGACUUGCUAAGGUCUGGAGCGAAAUGAAGGGGCUUAAGAUUCCAGAGAAGGGUGAGAUGAGUUCCCUGUCUAGAAAUAUGAAUGCACAGCACAUGAACAAAGUCCUCCCUCCACAGAUGCUGAAGCAGCAUGGUGGCAUGGGUGGCUUGCAAAACUUAAUGAAACAAAUGGGUUCGGCAAAAGACAUGACGGGCAUGUUUGGAGGCGGGGACAAGUAAAUGCAUGAUUGCCAACUGCAAGUUGAAAUGAAUUCCCAUGACUAUAACCUUGGCCUGUCAGGAGGAUGGCAAGGCAGAGUGUUACAUAUGCAAGCAAUGCUUCUAACAGUUUUGCAGGUACUUAUUCAUGAAGGAUAAUGCAUUUGACUUGGUUUUGUUUUUUCUCCUGCUGAUAUAGAGAGGUUGUUCUGUAGCACCUUCUUUUCCAGUUUAGUUUACCUGUUUUGUGUAUUUAUUUUACAUUGUUUGAUGACCUUUCUAACAGAUAUGUUACCGAGAAUUUUGCAUUUGUCACUUCAUCUCCAAAUCUGCUUGGGAUCUUUGCACGAAUCUGCAGGCUAUUAGAUCUUAGUCAGUUUAAUGACUAAUGGGGUGACUACUGACUAGUAAUCUUUCAUGGCCUGUAAAUAAGGGCCGAAUGCUAUCUUCCAAUAUAUGUGAAACAGUGUCUAGAAGGCUGGAGAGUCGGUAUUUAGAAAAAGAAAAAUAUUUUUAAAAAAAAUAUUUUCUUUUCCAAGAAAAAAAACAUUUUAAAAAGCAAUUAUUAUUACAAAAUCAAGAUUGAAUUUUUUUUGGUGGUCUUUUGUUUUAGAAGAGACACCUUACUGCAUUAUGUGAAUAUCCAAAAAUGGCAAAUCACCCCCGCAGUUUAAAACACUAUGCCUGCAAGUUAUAAUUCUUCAAUGCUAGAGGUAUUAGGUGUGGACGCUAUCUACCUCCAGAUUGCUUGAGACUUUUUCAGUGACUCUGCUAGCAACCACCCAAAAAUUGGUUAGAUUGCAACUCUUUUUUUUUUUUUUUUUAUUGUCAGGCAACGCUCAAAAAGUAUAAUUUGAGCUCGGAAAAGUUAACCAUCAAUGUUUAAAAUUUCUUGCAAAUGUUCCUAAGAUGUUUAUUUUCAUGGAAAUCCAAUGCCUUUCGGCCUCAAUUAGUCAAUGUACCAUAACGAUCGCAUGAGAAUCUGAACAUUUAAUGGCAGUGAAAAAACCCUUUAUGCAAGAACUGUUAUUAUUAAAUUAAAAACAAAUAAGAUGCACUAAUGUUUUACUGUUGAUCAAGACUAAUUAUACUACGGAUUACUAAAAUGUAAUGUUUUUGUUCUCCAUGGAAAAAAUCAAUGAACGGGGAAAAAUGGUUUUUUCACUAAGCUUGUUUGACACUAUCAAAAUUAAUCGGGGUUAAAUUGAUAUUUUUAAUUUUUUAACACAUUAAAAUAAUUUAAUUAUAUUUAAAAGUAAAUAUUUUUAAACUAGAGCCCAAAAAUUCUUCAGUCUUUUCAUUUUUUUUAAAACAAUAAAAUUACUAAAUUACUUUUAAAAACAAAAACAAAAGUUAUGAAACUUGCUUCCAUGAGGUUUUUUAUAUUUUCAUUAGAUUGAGAGACAAAUUGAUGUUUUAAUACAUAUAAAUAUUAUUAAAAAAAUAAUUGACACAUGCAUUACACGCAAUAACACGUGGGUUAUGAUCACUCACUUGUGGUUGAGCGUGUGGCGUUGCUCGAUUGCUAAAUACCGACUUCCAGAUACCGACUUCCAGGGUGACAUUUGAAUCUUUUUGGAGACCCUCUAUUCAUGGGCGACACGUGUUGGGACAAACCUCUAAUUUGGCGUUGAUGGCUUUUUCUUUCCCCUUUCUUUUUUUUCUUCGUCUCGAUUCUCAUGUCCUCUAAUUUUUUAAAGUAGCCCUUCAAAUUAUUUUUCUUUAGAUUAAAUUAAUGUUUUUUUGAUUAUUGUUUAUUUUAUUUUAAAUAAUUUAUAAUAUUGGAUUUUAUUUUUAAUUUUAUCGUCAUUCGAUUUUUUCAUCUAUCACAUUUGAUCCUUAUUCUUUUGAUUGUUAUUUUUUAUUUUUUUAAUCUUGAUCUUUUUCUUAAUUUUUUUAUUUUCAAUUUUGUCCCAUAUUAUUUGAUUUCAUUUAAUUUUUACACUAAAUUUGGUCAACAUUAUUUGAUUGCUAUUUUUUUAUUUUUUUAUUUUCUUAAUUUAUUUUAUUUUUCAAUUUUAUCCCUCAUUGUUUCAUUUCAUUGUUUUUUAUACCAGAUUUGAUCUCCAUUCUUUUAAUUGCUAUUUAUUUUGUUUUUUAAUUUUGGAUAAUUGAGAAUUUUGCUUCUUGAUUUUUUUAGGUUUACCUUUUAUAGGGUAAUCGGUCUCGUGAAUCAAAUUACGAGUUUUGAAAAUUAGCCCGAAUUGAUUUCAGUUUUUUUUUCUAGAUUUUUUUUAAUUUUAUCUUUCGACAUUAAGUUAUUGGGUCUUUAACUUUUUUGAUUUUUUUUAUUUUUUCCAUGUAUCUAUCCUGAUCUUAUAUCCUGGAUCACAAGUUAGUCGAGUUAACCCGAGUCAACUCAGGUUUUUUGAUUUUUUUUCUUUUUAGUUUGGCUUUUCAUUAUUUAGUUUGCUUUGAGAGUUAACCUCCACUGUUUUAUUCAGCUUCUUUUAUGCAGGGUUAUCCUGACCUCACAAGCAAACUGCGAGUCUAGCAUGCUAAUUAGAGUUAGGUUUUUUUGUUCUUUUUUAAAAUUGAUUUUUUUUCAAUUUAUCAUUCAACAUUUGAUUUGCUGGUAAUUAAGCUUUAAAUUUUUUUUUCUUUGUAAAUUUGUCUCGUUUUCAUUUAAUUUUUGUUUUGUUAUCAAAUAAUAUUGUUGAUAUUUUUUGAGAAUAUUUAAAAGAUAUCUUUUUAUAAUAUUAAUAAACAUUCAUUUUUUUAUUAGUCAUUGUUUAUUUUAUUUAUUUGAUUAUUGUUGGGUUUUUUUGUUAUAAUCAUAUUAUUAAAAUAUUUAAGUUUAUUGAAUGUAUUUAAAUUAAUGAUCCGGCCCCAUUUUUUAUUUUUUAUUUUGCUUUUUAACAAACAUUAUAGUCCCUUGGAGUAAAAAAAUCUGACCUUGUCUUGUCUACGUGCAAUCAGUUUUCAAAAAGUGUUGGCCCUUGUUUAUGGCUCAAAGUGAGACACCUGAACAUGCCGGCAUAGUCUCGCGGAUGACUAGAGGACAAGUAGCAACACAUUUUUGCUGUUAGAAAUGAUCAAAUACACAAACACAGCACCUUGAGUACAAAAUAUGAUGAUAUCAAGCGAUGUUUCUAUUUUUCUUAGGAAGAUUACAGACAUCAUGCAAAAUUUCUGACAAAACAGCAAACUUCGUAGAUAAACAAAUACAGUAUCUUGAGUACAAAACAUGAUAACAAGGGAGGUUUCUAUUCUUCUCAGGAAACAAAAUUUCCAAAAUUUGGAGAACUGGUGAAUCAUAAAGACACGGGAUGAGAAAACCAGAGAAGGAUAAUUGUUAAGACGGUAUAACACCAUUACCACCGAUGAAUUCUCCUCUUGCAUCCCAGGGACGCUUUUCAAAAGACUUUCCAAUGAUGCUGCGCUUCUCGUUUAUAGACCCAUCCUCGCGGCGAUAUUCUGGAAAGUAAUCCAAAAAUCCUUUACUGCCUAGUUCAUCAAGUCCAUUGAAGAGGAAGUUUCUAACCAAGUCCUACGGAAUAGAUGUGAAGCGAGCAUUGCAUCAGUACUUGGUGGCAAACAAUGCAUAAGAAAGAUUUGUUGAGAGUGAUUAUACCUUUGCAAGCCUUUCUCCAAUCAACCUUUUAAGAAUUCCAUGGCCAGGAUCCUGCUUCCAGAAUUUGCAUUAGCCAAACAUGUUGGACCAGAAAAGAGAGAAGUUUGAAACGGUGCCAAGAAUCUAUCUGCUUAAAUACUGUAAUUAUGGAAUUACAGUACUACAUAAAUGAUAUAUCUAUCUGAAGGUACCAGUAUGCCUAGUCAGUUCUGAGAGUCCGAGAAAGAGCAUGGGUUUGGAUAGGGCCUUAAUGCUAACAAGUCUAGGUACAAAGUUGAUUCUUUCCAGGCGUUUUCUUUCCUAAAACUGGGUAACCAAUUGGAAUUCAUCCUGCCUUGAAGCUAAAAUCCCUCUUCAAGAUGUUAGAUGCUCGAACAACGUUUUGUGGCAGAAAGCAUCUGUUUCUUUUUUUUAUUCAUUUUAUUCCAAAUGAAUUGCGAACUUAAUUAAAAUAAUAUAGAAAACAAGCAUUUUUCUGUCUUUCUUUUACUUCAAGGAACCAAAUUUCUUAUACAGUUAACCUAGAGAUGGCAAUUUGGCUCAAUUACGACCCUAUUAUUUUUUAGUAUUCAAAUGACCAUUUCUAAUCUAUAAAGCUAAAAUGCAUGGGCUUAAAAAAGCUUAUCACUGCCCAGCUGUUUGGCACUCAAAUUACAGUCACAGAUCUUACUUGAAACAUUUUCAAAUGAAGAAGAGUAGAGAACUGAAGACAUGCCAUGAUUACUUCCAAGCAUCUAAGCUUUUUUAAGUCCUACAGCCAAUGAGAAGAGACUGGCAGAUAUGAUGGGCCACAUGAAGAUGAGAUCAAAAGGGGAAAAAGACAUUAAAUAAUCACCUUUUCUUCUCUCCACGUUAGAUACUUAUGUUGCGCUUCACGAUUGAAUGUAAUAUGAGAUGCAUCUAUCUCCUCUGGUGCUUGGUCAAUCAGUUCAAGCCAUGCCUAAAAGAGAAGAGGAGAAUGAUAAUUGAGCAGCUAAAAUUGGAAUUCUACAUUUUAUUUGACACAUGAACUGCUAAAUCCAUGUGGAUUCCCAUCCCGUUUCCAGUUUAUAAUUUAUAUCUCAUCAUUAGCAUAUUAGCUUAAAUGUAAUUUAAAGCAGAAGCUAAAGCCGUUAAGCAACCUUGUAGUACUCUGUGAAAGCAGAAUAUAAAGCAUCAUAACUAUCCUGACUUGGAGGAAACUUGGUCCAUAUCACGAUCGGUGAGAAAAACUUCAAGGACUCGCUUGUGAGCUUUCCUCCCCAAGGAAAAAGCUGCAUGAAAUCUGUGUUCAGUCACCAUACCAUUAAUUUUAGACUGGAUAAAGAAACAAAUAACAAAUACCAUUGUGUGUAAUGUUCCACAAGAGGCAUUGAAGUUACCUUGCAAUACUUGAGGCCUAAAGGAAUUAAUCUCUUAAAGUACUUUUCCUUGUAGUCUCUUUGGUCAAUGACAUUGUGCAAGGGGUUGAGGUCCCUACAAUGGGUUAAAAGUUCCAGAAACCUUAGCACGUCAGUAAUUAAUUCCAGCUUACAGGAAUAAAAUCUUAAGUUCGAUGCCACAAGAAAAAGGACAAAAGAUGGCUCCUGGUUGAAACAAACCAACAAAAGGCAUGCAUGCAAAUCAAACUAGAAAGCGACAAUUAUUUUGUUUGUUUUUACGUUUCAAAAGCGUUUUUGAAAAAAAUUAUUUAUUUAUUUAUUGCUUUAAAUUAAUAUUUUUUAGUGUUUUUAGAUCAUUUUGAUAUAUUGAUGUCAAAAAUAAUUCUUAAAAAAUAAUAAAAAUUAUUAUUUUGAUGUACUUUCAAGUGAAAAACACUUUGGAAAGCAACCGCUACUACACUCCCAAACACCCAUUGACGAGCUUCAUUUCUUUUUCUUAUUCCACAUCAGAUUUGCGCAUAUAAAUUUCCAAGAGAAAUUCAAAGCAAUAGAAUGAAAAAAGGAAGCUGAACAGGAAAACAAAAAUCCAAACAGAAGCAUAAAUAAUUUUCCAUAUAAAGAAUAAAACAGGGUUUAGAAAAGCACAGAGAAAGGAAGAGAAGGGAGCUUACAACACAAUGAUGUUUAUGGUGGCAGUGGAGAAAAAGUUGGCACAAAAUAUGGGUACAUCAAAUUCAGGUCUGGCAAAAACAGCAAAAUCUAAAAUCUGCAUAAAUUUUCAGAGGUCAGUUAUUACAGAGGGAGGGAAACAAAAACGUUCUACGCCUCCAUCAAGCCAAAGAAUUUUUGUGGUGCUAGACAACGUGCAUAUAACCGUGCUGGAUACCUUUUGCACAGGAGGAUAAGAAUUUAACAUGAAUAGGAUAAGAGCAUAUUGCACUCAUGCUGCCAUGAGCCUUGUGAAGAACAAAUUAAGCUAAAUGAAUAUGAGUAGCAUUCCAAAAAAUCUCAAUAAUUUUCUUAAGCUAUAAUAAUAACACACAUGCCAAGGAUAAUUAAUGCCAAGUACAGGAGAUACUUCUUAUGCUGGCAGACAAAUGGACACAAACAAAGUCCAAAUAAUGGCAGUCAGUAACUUAGCUGUAAAAUGUAUAAUCGCAACAAAGAGCUCAAAUUAACGUGAUGCACUCAUGAGUUUUUCCCUCUAACACUUGAGGGUGCAAAAGUACAUAAAAGCAACAAGCUUGCUAGAGAAUGGUACCUGCAUCGCUUCAUUUUCAAUGCUCAAACUACGUAGGAGUCUGAUUUUGGGAGCUUGGAAUGAAAGCAUUUGAAGCUCUGUAGUUCCGUCCAUCGCAGUCAUGGAACUAUAUUUUUCCUAGACUCAAAAAAAGUUGUUCUUGUGAUACAUGUAUGUAAUCAUGAAAUAACAUUUAAAAUAAUUGAUUGUUUUUCAGCUGCCAAAGAGUUCGUUUCAUAGAAGCACAAAGAAUUUAUUUUAUUUUAUUUUGUUGAAAUUCAGUUUGCAAUGAGCAAUCAAUAACAGAAGAACCACAUGUUGUUUUUCCUUCUGCAGAAGCAAGAAGGCACAGUCAUCUGAAACAUAGCACUGAAAUAACAAAGGGUUCUUGACUCUAGGGUAAUCGAGUCUGUACUGGUGUCCUGAUGCUGUAUAAACCUUGAUAGCAAAUUGGAGAGCGAAUGAGAAACUAUUUUCAACUUUAUAACCAUCAAAGUCCAUAUUUGCACAACGACCAACAUCGAGUACAAUAGCCAAAAUAUGCAAGCAAAUCAAAACGGAAUCUUUUGGCUUAGAUAUUAAGCAUUCACUCUGCUAUAAGUUGCUGAAGAAAGACGCUCCAUCCCUUGCUCAAGUUUAACUCACGUUUUUGAAACAAAAUUCGACGAUGCAUAAAAUAAAAGAGGAAUUAAGUUUAAAAGAAAAAAAAAAGAAAAAAAAGAAGAAGAGUGUCUAAGCCCUUGGAAACCGAACAAACGAAACGACGAAAACGCACAUCUGGCGUAAGAACGAUACGAAGAUUAUACAUAUAAAAAAGGAUUAACAUAGACUUUGAAGGAUCAAAUGGCCCAAACUAUGACAAAUCACAGAAACAUUUCUAUGGAUCAGUCACCUCAAUUCCCAAGUUACAGACCAAAAAAGUUGCGAAAAGCUCUUAUAUAAUUCAAAAGCCAAAACCCAGCUUCAUUUUCAACCCUCUGAAACCCAAAACUGAGGAUUUAAAAAUAAAAACCCGAGGAGAAGGGCUCAAUUCAAAAGGCAACCCAUUUCUGCUUCCAGGCAAUGGAAUCCAUAAACACAGCAAGCAAGAAAGUGAAGUAAUACCUGGAGAGGAGAAGGGACCAAAAGGGCGUGUCGUUUGGUUUCGUUGAGAGCAAAAUGAAUGAACUUGUGGUAAGAAAAAGAACCUGCAGAGACUUUCAAGACACGAUGAGGUUUACACUUCUUGCUUGCGAAAUUAGUGGUGAUGCUACUAAAGAUUAAGCUGCUGGUUAAUAAUUGAGGUUUUAUUAGUGAAGAAGAUAAGCGCGCAGUUUGCAAAGAAGAACAGAAGUCCAUUGAAGUGAAGCUUUCACUGAAACUCUUAACACAUGAGCUCACCAUUUUCUUCGACAAAAGUGCUUCGUUUCUGUUGUUUACUGUAUUCUAACAUCACAUGUUGUCCUUGGCAAGUACUUUUUACUCCAUUUAUUUAUUCUGCACCUUUUUUUAGGCAUCGAAAUCGACGUUUCUUUCACUUACUUGUUGUAAUUUGUUUUUUACUCUAAAUCGAUAAAUAAAUAGGCAUGAUUUUAGCAUGUAUGUUAAAAAUAAUAUAUAUAUAUAUAUAUUGUUAAAUUUAGAUCAUUGAAUUUAUUGAUUGUUUAUAAUUUACUAGGCCUGGCGCUGUACACAAGUUAGAGCAAAAAAAAAAUUAAAGCAUUAAAAAAAAAUAGUAGUGACAUGUUUCUAAAAAAAUAUAAAUUUUAACUCUAAAUUAAGUAAUAUUUUUAUUUAAUAUAAAGAAGGAAAAAUAUUUGGUCUAUCUAGGAUAACAUAGAUUGACCUUUGAAAUUUACAAGGGUAAUAUUGAAAAAAAUAAAAUAAAAAACUCAAUACCGAAUUAAUUUAAUAUUAAAGAACAAAAUUGAUAAAAAAAUAACAUUUAAUUAAAAAAAACUAAGUAAACUCAUGUUGCAAGAAGUAAAUUCAUGAUGCAAAUCAUGUACAUCAUCAGAUUCAGUAAAUUUUUAUCCACAUGAUAUUUUUUUGGUAUGAAACAAUAUAUUUUCUAAAAGUUAAAAAAAAAGGUAAUAGAUACUGGAGCCGAGAUAAUAAAAAUAGAUUAAAUUUUUUCACUCUAAAUCGAUAAAUAAAUAGGCAUGAUUUUAGCAUGUAUGUUAAAAAUAAUAUACAUACAUAUAUAUAUAUAUAUAUAUAUAUAUAUAUAUAUAUAUAUAUAUAUAUAUUGUUAAAUUUAGAUCAUUGAAUUUAUUGAUUGUUUAUAAUUUACUAGGCCUGGCGCUGUACACAAGUUAGAGCAAAAAAAAAAAAUUAAAGCAUUAAAAAAAAAUAUUAGUGACAUGUUUCUAAAAAAGUAUAAAUUUUAACUCUAAAUUAAGUAAUAUUUUUAUUUAGUAUAAAGAAGGAAAAAUAUUUGGUCUAUCUAGGAUAACAUAGAUUGACCUUUGAAAUUUACAAGGAUAAUAUUGAAAAAAAUAAAAUAAAAAACUCAAUACUGAAAUUAAUUUAAUAUUAAAAAAUAAAAUCGAUAAAAAAAAUAAUAUUUAAUUAAAAAACCAAGUAAACUCAUGUUGCAAGUCAUGCACAUCAUCAGAUUCAGUAAAUUUUUAUUCCAAAUAUUAUUUUUUAUUUAAUAAUAUAACAAUAAAACACAUGAUAUUUUUUUUGGUAUGAAACAAUAUAUUUUCUAAAGGUAAAAAAAAAGGUAAUAGGUACCUAGAGUUGAGAUAAUAAAAAUAGAUAUUCUAAAUUGAUAAAUAAAUAGGCAUGAUUUUAGCAUGUAUGUUAAAAAUAAUAUAUAUAUAUAUAUAUAUAUAUAUAUAUAUAUAUAUAUAUAUAUAUAUAUAUAUAUAUAUUGUUAAAUUUAGAUCAUUGAAUUUAUUGAUUGUUUAUAAUUUACUAGGCCUGGCGCUAUACACAAGUUAGAGCAAAAAUAAAUAAAUUAAAGCAUUAAAAAAAAUAGUAGCGACAUGUUUCUAAAAAAAUAUAAAUUUUAACUCUAAACUAAGUAAUAUUUUUAUUUAAUAUAAAGAAGGAAAAAUAUUUGGUCUAUCUAGGAUAACAUAGAUUGACCUUUGAAAUUUACAAGGAUAAUAUUGAAAAAAAUAAAAUAAAAAAUUCAAUUCCGAAUUAACUCAAUAUUGAAGAAUGAAAUCGAUAAAAAAAUAGUAUUUAAUUAAAAAAAACGAAGUAAACUCGUGAUGCAAGUCAUGCACAUCAUCAGAUUCAAUAAAUUUUUAUCCCAAAUAUUAUUUUUUAUUUAAUAAUAUAACAAUAAAACACAUGAUAUGUUUUUGGUAUGAAAUAAUAUAUUUUCUAAAAGUAAAAAAAAAGGUAAUAGGCACCUGGAGCCGAGAUAAUAAAGGUAGAUUAUUAAUAGCAAAUAGUGAAAUUGCAUUUUUUUAGGUUUUAGUUAAAUAAAAAAAAAUAGACCAUCAAUGAUGAAAGAUGAAAUUGAAUUUUUUUUAAAACAAUUAUGGACAAAUAAGGUAUUAAACAAAAAAACAAAUAGUAGCCCAGAUAUUGUGGAUUAACCCAUUAAACUCGAUAACAAAUAAUAAAAUCAAUCAGUUCAAUAAUUUGUUUUAUCAUUUUAAAAAAAACAAAACAUAAAAUAGAAAAAAAAGCACCUAGGUUGCUUGGCAUGAGCGUCAAAACAAAACAACCCAAGCACAUGGGCCUUCUAGCCCACACCCGAGCUUAUUUUGUUUUUUAUUAAUACUUUUUAAAGAAAUGAUGACCUUCAUAUUUUUCUAUUUAAAAAUAGUAGACAUCACAUUUUCUGGUUCUAUAAAUUACUUGAUAUAAAUAAAAUAUAUUUAUUAAAACAUUUAUAGCAUGCUAAAGUCCUUAUUGGUCAAUAACAAUAAAAUUUAACCAAAUAUUAUUUAACUACUUUAACUAUUUAUAAACAUAAUAUAUUAAAAUAAUAUUUUUUAAAAAUACUUUUUAUUUUAAAAUAUAUUAAAAUAUUUUUUAGAUUAUUUUUACUUUUAAUAUAUUAAAAUUGUAAAAAAUAUUUAUUAAUUUAAUAUUUUUUAAAAUAAAAAACAUUCAUGGUAGUUAUCAAAGGCAUCAUUCAAUAGCACGUCGCAGGGCACCAAGUCAAAUACGAAACAGUCCCAAGACAAUAGCUAUACCAUAUUUAUUAAAUUUGGACUCGUCACGGGACAACUCAAGACUCGAGACCCGAUAGUUGGAUUAAUAUAGAUUAGGUAAAAGACUAGGACGGGCAAAAUCUAUUUGACCGGAUUGUUUUUUUUUUCCUUGCAAAUAUCUUUUUUUCUAGCUAGAUAUUUUUUAUAUAUAUAUAUUUUUUAGUUGGUUAUUAAUUUUUUUCAAAGUUUAUUAUAUAAACACUAAAAGAAUAUUUUAUUUUUUUAAUGUGGGAUUUGAAGUCUUUUAAUAUAUAUUACAAAAAAAAAAAUUAUGUUUUUUUAAUAUGGGAUAAAAAACCUUAUUGGUUUAAAUGCUUUAACUUAAAAGAUUCAGCUUAAAAGGAUAACAUACUAACAUAAUAUAUUUUCAAUGUGCGAUAAAAAACCUUUUAAAAUAAUCUUUUAAACUUUAUUAUUUAUAACAUGUAUAGCCUACACUCACAUGAAUUGUUUUUUAAUUUUCUUCAUAUGAAAUAUUAAAACUUCAAUUUUUUUUUAAUUUUUCCGGGUUGACCCGGGUCAACCCGUGUAACCCGGGACCCAGAUCCUUGGCCGGGUCAAUUCCCUAUUCGGGUUUGAUAACUAUGAGCUAUACCGGAGUUUGUACUAUUAAAAGACAUGUUUGUUUUUGUAUUUUAAAAGUAUUUUUUUUAAAAAAUGAAUUUGUUUUUUAUUUUUUUUUUACUUUAAAUUAAUAUAUAUAUAUUUUUGUUUUCAAAUGUGUAUUGAUAUCAAAAAUAAUUUUUUAAAAAUAAAAAAUAUUAUUUUAAAAUAUUUCUAAAUUAAAAACACUUUAAAAAAUAACCACGAUCAGCCUUCCAAACAACUCAUCUGUCUUUUUUCUUGCCUUACCAGGGAGAAUUGGGAGCCGUGUUUGAGGUGUAUCCUUGAAAUCUUCCUCUGCAUGAAUUGAUUUUGACAUCCACUUGUCUGCAGGCUUGUUUUGGUGUGGUCUGCUUGCAAACUUUCUACACAGGUAAAUCUCUUGAAGGACUGUUCAUCUAUUUUGUGAGGGAAGGCAGCUUUCCUUCGAAACAUUUCAACACCGAAGGCUCUUUUCCUUUUCAGGAUUAAUGUGCUCGUACAGUCGCCGUGGAUAUUUCAGAUUAGUGCCACUGUCAGUAACUCACUGAUACUGUUCCUGUACAGUAUCAGGAGCAAAAAAUGAGUAUCUUUUUCGCACUUGUAGAACACAUCCCCUCAGGUGGAAAAGGCAUUGAUGGAAAAAGUUGCUCUGAAGUGCGUUGCUCACUGCUAUUUAUAGAUAUGUACCUCGAGAAUGCAAGUUAGCAUUUUAGACAAGAGCACAGGCUGAGGAAAAAGCCAGAAGAAAAUAAUCCAGAAGAGGAAGGGCUGUGGGAGAAGGAUCAAAUUGUAGCAAAGGAUUCACAGUGCCCCUGACAUUAGAAAAUAAUCCUUAUUCUGUUUUUGUUUAAGAUUUGUCACUUAUUCUUUUAUAUUGUUAUUUUUAUUUUGAAACCUUUUGUCAAAUUGAGUUUUGUUUUUAAUUUCCCCCUCUACUUUGGAUUUAUUAAGAAUCGAGAGUCAUAAUUUUUUUUUAAUUAAGUUGCAUCAAGUUUAUGAUAAAUAUCAUGAGUUUAAAAAGUUAAUUCAUAUAAUAUUCAUCUUUUAUUUAUUUAUUAUUGUUUUUUUUAUUUUACUAUUUGAAUUUAAAUUUUAUGAGGUUAUAUUAAUCUCUUUAUCUUAAUCAUCAAACGAUUUAUUUGUUUAACAAGCGUUCACUCUAGACUUUUUUUUGGGUUAGUUCUUUCGGUUUCAUCAUUUAUUAAUUUUUUUUUGCAUUUUGCUUCAUAAUUGUUUUCACUUGCCUUUUAUUUAUCUGAUUAUUAUUUUGAUUGAAGUAAGUUAAUCUGCGUUUAUUGAUUAUUUAUUUUUAUUAAUUGAUUUUUUUAAAAAAAAUUAAUUCAUCCACAUUAAAUUUAUUAAAAAUUAAAACUGAUAUAUAUAUUUUUUAAUUUGGUUUCUAAUUUGUUAUCUAACCUGAAUAGAUUACGGGUUUUUAUAGAUGCACUCAGGCUUACUUAGUCAUAUCCCCUCCUUUUUGACGAUUUUCUUCCUACCAUGCUUAAUUAUAUUUGAAAUGUAUCUUUCUUCUUCUCUUUUCCUUUCGUAAAUGCUUUUUAUUUUUAUUUUUAUCAUGAUUUUUUUUUGUCAUUUUAUUCUAUUCCAUCGAGUCAAUGAAAUAAUCGUGAGUUUUUGUUACGUUUUUUUGAAGCACUUAUAAUAUCUUUACAUUUUUAUUUAAUGCUAAGAUUUAUUUUCCCUUAGCUCGGUGUAGGGUAGGCAUUAGGACGUUAUAAUUACAGUUUUUCAAAGUGUUUUUUAUUUAAAAGUAUAUUAAUUUUUUUUUUAUUUUUAAAAAACUAUUUUUAACACCAACACAUUAAAAUGAUUUAAAAAUAAAUAAAAAAAUAUUAAUUUAAAACAAAAAAAAAUAAUUUUUUUCCUUCACCUUGUUCUCUCCCGUAUCUUAAGUUUUUUUGUUUUACAUUUACGUACCUGUUCAUUGAAGGAUCCCCACAUAAUCAAGAGUACUUAUUUUGCAGGUAUACAACCACCUUCUUCACCUUCGAUCAAUUUCCAUCCAGCCUUAGAGUUUCACGACUUCAUCGUGUUUCACCAUGGCUUGGCUAAGCAACGGCAGCAACAAGUGAUCAAUAUAAAUACUAUAAUAUUCCAACAAAGUUCCAAUAGCCAAAGGGAAAAUAACAUUCUUUGAUUUAAUUGUAAAGUUCAAAUAAAUCUUACAAAUGUAUCAAAACGAAAUAAAAAUAAAAGGGGAUUAAAUCUGAAAUAAAAACAAAAUAAAAAACAUUUAAAUGAAAAUUAAAAUAAAAAAUAAAUUUAAAGUUUUCAAAAGAAAUCAGGAUGAGAAACAUGCAAUAAUAAAAAACAAGAGAACUAAAUUAGAAACUUAAAAAAAUAGGAAGGCAUCGUAGAUUAUUUUUUAUCAAGCGGCUUCUUUUUUGAGAAGAAAAGAAAGGAAAAGACGGUCUUAGCCGCACCAUUUCAUUUGAAAGGAUGCUCUAGGAAUUCUAAUGCCGUUAUGGGUUGUCAAUUUCUGACACUGUACAACUCUGCACGCGCCAUUAGAAGUGUACAGAAUCACCCGACAAACACACGCGUUAAAUAUUUUUAUACUUAUUAAAAUAUCAAAUUAUUCAUAACUUGACCUGGUCUGGUUAUAACUAAAAAUAGCACACUGUAGAAAUCCUGAUAAGGAUGCACUGUCCUCAAAGCAUGCAGCAAUCAAUAAACACCCAUAAUCCCACGGAUAAAGGAUGUUCCAAGAACUCAUAAGAACCGACAAACAGGCAACGAGGAGAAGACGAACGUAUAAGGAGAUCAGAGCACCAAAAGAUCAGACAAACAGGAACAGCAAACCAGAAGGAGAGCAGUUCGUCAGUACUGACACAGCAUGAAGACCACACAAACCUGCAUAUAUAUAUAUAUAUAUAUAUAUCCCAUCAAAUCCAUUUAAGUUAAACCAGCAAGAUGGUCUCAAAGAACCCAGCAUAAAAGAACAAGGAAACAAAAGAUAACGAAAAGAAAGCAACAAAAAUGGGCAAAAAGAAGCACCAUCAGGAACAAUGACAGAGAAAUAGAAUGAACAGAAAAACCAAUGAGCCAGACCUAAGACGGAGGCAUGAAAGAGAGUAAAAAGGAGAAGCAGAUGAACCUACCUACGCGACCCAAGCCAAAAAAAAAAAACAGAGAGAGGAUGUGAAAGCAUGGGAAGCCCUAGGACAACAGUAGCGUGAUAUAACAAAAAAACAAUGAAACAGAACCUGAAAUGAUAAAAACUUAAAAGGGCAAGUAAAGUCCAUCUAAAAUGAACAAUAAAACUAACCAAACCAGAAGAGUACUGAAAAUCACAAACUUGUCAACAACCACACAGCUUGUGAGCGCAAAAAAAUGAGAGGCCUGGAACUGGAAUUCCCCAGUCAACAGUCUAGAUCAUGCAGACGUCCAAUCAAACCCAAUAAUCAGCAGCUCUUCCAAUGUUAAAGAGCGGCCAAGUGGGCAUUGCAUUUAAUGCAUAAUCAUGAUCCCGGGUCGUUUUCUCUAAGGUAACAGACACGACCGAAAUAAAAUAACCCCACCCACAGCCAUUUUAAGUUGUGUUUUUUUAAGGUUAACGUUGUUGUUGGUCAAGUUACAUGGAUUUUAAUUAAUUUUAUUGAUUUUAAAAUUAAUAAUUAUAUAAAUUUUUAAUGACAUUAAAACUUAUAAAAUUUAAAUCCAUGAUUUUUAAAAAACAAAUUUAGAAUUUGAUUAGUUAAGUUGAAGCUGAACACACAACACCCAAAAAACCCAGCCCUCCAAGGCUCGAAAGGAAGCGCCAACAACCCAAGGCGCGAUGAGAGCAAUGGAAAGCCGCACCGUUAAGAAAAGCAAACCCAGCCGAGAAAAAGAUAAAGUCGCCACCAUGACUGAACCACACUGCACGGUGAAUGGUUGGUAAUUAUAACAGCGAUAAUAAUUUAAAGUAUUUUUUAUUUAAAAAAAUAUUAAAAAAAUAUUUUUUUUAUUUUUUAAAAAUUAUUUUUAAUAUUAAUCAAUCAAAAUAAUCUAGAAAUAUAAAAUAAAAAAAACUUUAAUAAAAAAAAUUCAAAAUUUAAGGGCUAGAAUCAUCCCACAACCUUGGAAAGAUGAGGCAACUAGAUGUAUUGUGCAAUUCCACGGUUAACUGAGUUAUGGCCCUAUGGGAGCAGUUUUUGUCUUUGCGGAAUAAAUCGUGAUUUUUCAAAUUAUGAUUUUUUUUAAAAUCUGAAAUUAUUUUUUUUUAAUUGUUUUGAUAUAUUAAUAUUAAAAAUAAUUUUAAAAAAAUAAAAAAUAUUAUCUUAAUAUAUUUUUUUUAAAAAAACAAUUUAUUUAAACACUCUAAAACACCCCUUAUGUACAGUAUCGAUCCACGUAGUAUUUUUCCAUACUGUUUAGAGUUUUUUUUUGUUAAUUUUUCACUGGACAGGAUGUGCCUUUGAUACAAAAAGAAAAGGAGAAGAUGCGCCGUGGUGCCCAGAAAGCAAUAAAUGGUUCAACAAUUGGAUUAAAAUUCAUAAGUUGAUAUUGUUGAAUAAUUAACGACUGAAUAUCACCAUGUUUUUUGUUCACCCAAUAUCAAGAUUUGUCACUCCUGUAAAAUGAGAAGUUGAGACAAGCAAAGAAGCUUGUUUACACAUGGUACGUACAUAUGUAAUCUCAAUUUCCCUACUAUCUCCCCCCUUUCAGACAUGGAACGGCAGCGGCCCGACAUGUUCUACAAGAUAAAUAAACUGACUCGGCUUCAAUCUCUCUCUCCCUGCUUCUGGCUUGCCUGUUUGGUAAUUACAUGAUGGAGCAAGAAGGGUCCUGAUGGGGGUGAAUCGGAUAGAUAUAGGUCUGAGGCAUGCCUCCAACGUACACGGGCCAAUCAACCGGCUGCACUUCUGGCUCUUCUUUCUUUUCUCCCACAGCUUCUACACUUGCUAACUCUGCGUAGCCUACUUUCUUUCUCAGCAAAUUUGUAAGUUGUACUGCAUCAACUCCAUCGCCUACCACCUCUAUCUGGCUCUUAUCUUCCCCACCUAAACCAGCAGAUUCAACACCUACAGAAUCACAAAAGGAUAUAUAAACCCGUCAACAAAUUGAUCAUCUGAAUUUUCCCACAAAUGCAUGGUUUCUAUUAGGUAUUCCGAUUCUAAAACUUGUGUGCAUGGAAGGUUUUGUUCACCUGAAAGCCCAACUGCAAUCUGCAAGGCUUUGGAGCGGGACUUCGGUCCCUUCCCCGUCACCUUGAUCACUAUCUUUUGCUGCAAUAAUUUAGCAUAAUUAAUCAUUAACAAGAAAGUAAUAUACAUAAUAUAUUUACGAACAAGCUAGUAAUAUACUUGGGUUCUGAUCGCAAAUUCAUACCUUCAUGGUCUUGGUUGUUGGAAAGAUGGUGAUACGUAGGGAAUGAGGAGCUGUUUACAGUCCAGGAGACACCAAAAGUGAUGGUUUUGGUCUUUUGGGGAGGUUUUGAAGAAACAGAGGAGGGAGUAAAUUAAUGCUCAAGUUGUUUGAAGAUGGAAAUCUGGGAGGCAGUUCUUGCUAUUUAUAUAGGAGUGCAUGGGCUAGAGAGUAUGCUUGAGGAGAUUUCUGUGCAAGUUCUCAAGGAAGCUCUGAUUCCGAUUCGCUAUUCUUUCAGUUGACAAAGUAAACACACGGCAUUUCGUUAAUUUGGGGUCCUGCUUAUCAAUGACCUAGCUCAGAUCAAGACCUAAUUAAUUUUAAUCACCAAAUAAAAAAAAAAAGAAAAGAAACAAGACAAGUUGGCUAGAUUUGUGUGGGAUAUUAGGAAAGACCGCUGAAGUGUUUUUAUUUAAAAAUAAAUUAAAAUAAUAAUAUUAUUUUUAUUUUAAAAUUACUAAAAAAUCUAAUUUAAAAUAAAGAAAAUUAAUUAAACUUUUUUUAAAAAAUAUUUUUAAACGCAAAAAUAAGCAAUCCUUCUAAUCUCCAUACAAGGCUUGUGUUUGCAAUUAGAGAGCAAAAACAAGUUGAUGGUUUUUUUUUUUAAUUUGUAAAACACACAAUCCUGCUUAUAAUUAAUCUCGGCAGUAAAUAUUUUCAAAACCAAGUUGUGGCAUGUCAUAGUUCGCGUUUCUCUCGGCCGAAUUAUUUUAGUUGAAUAAAGAAAAGGAAGAAACGGAUCCACAGUUCAUCUUGCAAGCAAUCCCGAGGAAAGAGUCUGCAAACCAAAUCGAUUUUUAGUCUUUAAUAACACUUAAUUACUCCUAAAAGGGGCCAGGGAAAACGAGAACGCUGAAAAAUCAACAGCAAAGUUGGAAAAAUGGAGGGCACAGUGCAGCAAUAGCAGAGCAGAGUUACAUCGAGAUUAGGUGGCUAUCAUCAUCAACCUCUCUCUUUCCUGUUGUGUGUGAUAAAAGAAUAAAAAGAAUAUAGGAGUAACUGACUGUAUUUGAUAAAAAGCUGUGUACGUGUGACUUUUUCUGAAAAGAAACAGGAGCGGGUAAGGGGCAAAUUAGCCAAUUUAGUACAUCGAACCCCUCUUCUUGUAAAGACGACUUAUUAGUCUUUGUAUUAUAUAUCAUCGUCAUGCAUGCAUUACGGGUCAAAUGAAUUAUUAUUUUUAGUAUAUAAAAAAAUUAUCUAGUUAUUGUUGACGUUUUUCUAGUAAAACUGCGUGAAGGUUCAUUAAUUUAAUAAGUUUAAAAAUAACUCGCUUGAAUAAUUGAUAAAAAUACUAUAUAAUUCAUAAAUAUUCUAGAUAUUUUUUUAAAAAAAUUAUUAAAACGAAAACAUAUUAAAUUGAUCUGGGUAAACCCAGGUUCAUCUGCUAAAUCCGUAACCUGUAUUGUGAGACCAUGAUAACUCUGUAUAAAACAAAUCAAAACAAAUUAAGAAACUCAAUUGCCUGAAAACUCAAUGUUAAAGAAUGAAAUUGAAAAAAAAAAAAAGUAGAAAAAUAAUGAUUUGAGUUUAACCUGUCAAAUCUAUUACCCGGGUCAUGAGAUCAGGAUAACCUCAUGGAAAAAAAAAAACUUGAGUCAACUCGGGUUAACCUACUAAACUUAUGACCAAGAACAUGAGAUAGUGACAACCUCAUUGAAAGCAAAUCAAAAACAAAUUAUAAAACCCAGUUUUUAAUAAACUCAUUGUUAAAGGUUAAAAUAAAUAAAUAAAUUCAAUCUAAAAACAGGAUACAAUAAAACGACCCAAGUCAUAAAAUCAGGAUAACCUUAUAAAAGAUAAAUCAAAUAAAUCAUGAAGCAUAAUUCAUAAUCAACUUCAUGUCGAAUGAUUAAAUUAAAAAAAAUAAAAUAAAAAAUUAAAGUUAACUUGUCAAACCCGCAACAUGAAUCAUGAUACCGAAAUAACUUCAUAAAAAACAAUUCAUGAAGUCUGAUUCUCAAUCAACUCAAUGUUGAAGGUUUUAAGUAAAAAAAACUCGAAUCAAUCAAGUUAACCCGACAAACUCAUGAUAUAGGUUAUGAGAUCAAGUUAACCAUUAAAAGAGCAAACCAUAAUAGAUUAUGAAAUCCAAUCUCCAAUAAACUAAAUGUUGAAGUAUAAAAUUAGGAAAAUAAAUAUAGAUUUGGAAAAGAAAAGAAAAAACAAAGUCAAGGAAAAAAAACUAUUGAAAUGAAUAAAAAUUUAUGAGGCAAUGCAUAGCAUAUAAAAACACUUUCUCUUUUAGUUUAUACUACUAACUAUUUGACCCAUGUUCCUCCGUGAUUUGAAUUUUUUUUUAUAUAAAAUAAUGAAUAUGGAAGCUUUUCCAAUGUGUUUUUUGUAUAAAAAAUUAAAAGUGAAAAUAAAAAGUAAUAUGUAUACGUCUAAUAAAAUAAAUUAAGAAUUAUGUGUGUUAAUAAAUUAAUAAAAAGUCUUUAACAAUAAAUAAAGAUGAAAAUUAAAAAAAUUAAGAGGCGGACAUAGACCAAGAUAUUCAACUUCGCAACUUGAAUCUUUGACAUGGUUGAGUUUAACAACUUUAUUCACAAAAAAAUAAUUUUUUAUUUAACUAAAUGAUAAUAAAAAUGGAGACAUAUGCAAUUGAUUAAAUAAAAUAAAAAGCAAAAAAAAUAUUAUGCAAGGUUACACAUCUUAAAAAUAUUAUCUGAAAAUAAAUAUUUUUAAUUUUUUGAAAUAAAUUUCAUUUAUACAAAACAUAAGAAAAUAAAUGAAUUAGAACAAUCUCUUAAAAAAUUAAAUGCAUAUAAAAUAAUUAAAAAAUAAUCAUUGUUUAAAAGAGGCUAGAUAAAAAAAAUUAAAAGAGAGGAGUAUUAAUUUAAAUAUAAAUUUUAAAAUUAUUUUUUUAAAAAUACAUAUAAAACGACAUUAAUUAAUUUAAAAAAAAAACAGAAAAGGUCAGGCACUGCAGGGUCUGACAAACCAGGACAACACGCUUGGCCCAUCCAAUAAGGGCCCGCGCCUGGAAGAGGAGGCUCGUUUUCUUGGCCCUUAUUUUUUUUUAUUCUUGAUGAUGUGGAGAACAUGUCGUCCUUCAAUUUUUUUUAAAAGAAAAUAAGUCAGACGACAUGUAGUCUGAUAUUACCUAGUUUUCAGCCACCACCAUGGCUACAAAAUCAGGGCAUAAGUUUCUUCGACUUAAAAACUGAUUUUUCAACUCAUUGUCUACCAAAGACACCUAGAAAACAUCUUAGGCAACUUGAUAAACCCAUUCAUGCCUUUAAAAAAACCAAAAAACCAUCCCGAAACUCGAAAUCAACCAAAAACAAAAAAUCUUACCAAGCUCAAAUAUGUUUUUAGGCAAUUUCAAGGUAAAAAACACCUACUGUGAACUCCCCUCAUCAAAUAAAAAAAUUUAACACUAAUAUCAAACGUUUUUGCGGCCAAAUUCAGUGCAAUGGAAACUUUCUCUCUCUAGUGUUGAAUUCUAGCGUCUUUCUCUUACCUUUCUCAAACCAGGAAUGAAAAAAUAACAAAAAUAAAGUUUGAGAUCAAAAUUGAUUUUGCCCUUAAAUUUUGAAAACUAAAGGGAUCCAAUAUUUAUAAUUUAGAAAGUAUGAGGACUAUAAUAAAUAUUUUGCCCAAACUUUAUUAAAGCUACACAUUCCCUCCGUGUUUCUCAAUUUGGUUCUGUAUCUUUUGAUAUCACUCUUCCCCAAUAAAAUGGCCUGUAAUUUGGUUCAAUAAAGGUCAAACUAAAAAAAAAAAGAAAAAGAAAGAUUGUGUGAAUAGUCUAUCCACGGUACUAAGUGAGAGGAUCCACAAUGCAUUUUGCACAAAGUAUUCCCCGUGCAUUUUUUAUUUAUGGUUAAUAAUAAUAAUUUUCCUUCCAAAUGUGAUUGGAUAUAUUUGUGAGAAAAGAUUCCCUUCUCUUGGGUAGAGUAUCCAUCUAGUCAAACUUGGUCCAUGUUGUUCCCAUCCUGCUCGAGCUAUUAUAGCUACCUAUAAGGAAGGCACGGGGUAAUUAUUUAAAGGUAAUGGAUCCAUUAGGAUACACAUAUAUAAUCGGGUAUAUCAAAAUAUAUCUCUUUUUAUAGUGUCUAAUUUGAGGGAGGAAGUCCAUAAUUUGAACUUAAAUUACAAUUUUUUUUCAUUAAUGCAUUAAAUCAUGAACGCAUAAUAAUGAUCUCUCAAAAAAUCAAAGUAGCGUAGAAGCAAAGCUUAUGUAUUGAAUAAUCAAUUAAUUUUUCGGUUUUAACAAUCUGAUUCAUUUUUCAUUAACUAAGGUGAUUGAUAGAUUCUACCUGGUAGAUCAAAGUGAUUGAUAGCUGAUAUUUGUAAAAGAUCUUUUUUAGUAGAUGUAAGGACUCUCAACGUUUAGAUAAAUAUCUUUUUUAAUAAAAAAAUAUAAUGAUAUUUAAAAGAAAUAAAUUCUAAAAAUAUAUAUACUAAAAAAGUUGAAAAUUAAUACACACACUAGUUCGAAUACCUCGCUAGCUGCAUGCGGGCUAACACCCAAUAAAUAAAUAACGUAUACAUAAUAAAAUAAAUAUUAUUACAUAAUUAGUAUCAUCCUUUUCUAAGGUAGAAACCGUACCCAACUAUUAAAUAAAUUCUAUCAUUUGUAAUAAAAAAAUGACAUUAUCUGCAGGAUAAUUUGCUAGGAGGCAAAACUAGAAUAAUUUCAAAUCAUAGAAAACAUUAAAAAAAAGCUCACAUUUACGUUAUUCUAGAUUUCAAAAUUAAUUCCAACGUAAUCGAAUCAGUUGCAUGAGCAUGAAGAGUACUGGUGGUCAAGAUGAUUAUCCUAACAAAACAUAAACCAACUGUUAUGCAAUUUCUUCUGUUUACGCUUUUUGGAAAUCUAAUUAGGAAGCCACUAGCUAUUUGUUUUCUUCUCAGGAAUCCACCGGAUUUUGGCGUCUCAACUCCUUAUUAGAUUCUUGAAUGACUAUUAAUAAUACUGCAGUUUCUUGUUUAUUUGUCUGAUUUCAGAAAUCCCUUCUCUUUCAGCACUACAGUGUUAAUUCACCCGAGGCAAGGAACGGCGAGCCUUUAUGCCCUGGCUUGACGUCCUGCUUUCUGAGGGCUUAAUUAUUCCUUGCUGCCAUUCGUAUGAGAUCAAGGUUUAACUAGCUGUUAUUUGAGCCCUUUUACAGCUAUUUGUUCUUCAAUUCGGAAUCCCUUAUCUAAAGAGGAAAAUCUGUUCAUCAAGUCGGGAAGAUUCGGUCAAAUGGUUUAAAGUUCGUAUUUUGGUGACCAGAUCUUAUUCCAACUCACUCUCACCCAUCUCAUCUUUAAUGUUUUGCUAUAAUCUAGGAAUAAUUUUAUCAUAUCUGUUCCAAAGUCGUAUAAAAAAUCUCCUCAUUGAUAUAUUUAAUUAAUUACAUCAUUAGGUGUUUAUAUCAAUGAAAAAUAAAUAAAUAAAAAAAGUUGUCAACUCUCAACAGUUCAUGGAAGUUUUUGUCCUUGUUUUAUACACGUAAAAAUCAAAAGAAAACUUUUUUUUUAAUUAAACAAAAGAAAUCUUAUUAAUUAUAUUUGAGUUCGAAUAUGGGUAGAAUAUUGACUAUACAACACCUCAGUGUAUGACAUUCGGUUAACUUACAACAGACAUCCUUGAUUUAAUUUCUAAUAUAUAUAUAUACAUACAAUCCUGCCGGUUCAUGCAAUAUACUGUAUGUGCUGAUAGCAAACACUUGAAGAGAGGGGGAGACAGAGCAAUAGAGAGACAGAGAUAGCAGGGGGGGCUUUUGCAGAUGGAGCAGCCCUAAAGGGGGCUCAUCUCUACGAGUAUAAAACUACUAUUUAUUUCAUCCCUUUUUGGGUAUGAUCUUGGUGUAUCUGGUGAGUAUUUAUCUUUGGCUUCUUAUGUCAAGUGAUCCAUAUAUAUAUAUAUAUAUAUAUAUAUAUAUAUAUAUAUAUAUAUAUGUUUUAAGCAUACAUAUCCAUGUUAAUUUAAGCAAUUAAUAUGCUGACAUCGAAUGUUUGCAUUGCACAUCGGUUCAUCUUCAAGAAAAACUCACUUUACACUUGUUUCUAGAUGAUAUAUUAUCAUGAAACUUAACAUGAAAAUUGGUGGUUCCAGGUGGAGUGACUUCCAUGGAUGAUUUCUUAAAAAAAUUCUUCCCAGGUGUAUGAAAGGAAGCAGCGUCAUCUCCACGAGACGGAUUACUGCAAAUAUGACAACCAGAUACUUACACUACUCACGUCUUCAUUGUACUUUGGGGCCCUUGUUUUCACAUUUUUAGCAUCCUUCAUGACCGGAAGUAAAGGCCGGAGUGCAAGCAUACUAUGUGGAUCAAUAAGCUUCUUCUCUGGAGCUGUUAUCAAUGCAUGUGCAAUGAAUAUUGCAAUGCUGAUCAUAGGACGGUUACUUCUAGGUGUAGGCAUUGGAUUCAGCAACCAGGUAUGCUCAAUGAUCCCUAAGCCAAAAGUAUUUUGAGGCACACCUCUUAAUUUGUUUACAGCAUUUUUUUCCUAAUUGUACAGACAGUUCCCUUGAAUCUGUCAGAAAUGUCUCCUGCAAAAACCCGUGGGCGAUAUAUAUUAGAAAAUAAUAUAAAUUAUAUCCUGGGACCUCACCUAAUAGCUUAAGCUAUUGGUUUGAGAUGGUUCUUUGACAUGGUAUCAGAGCCUUUAUGACCAAGCGGUCACGAGUUCGAAUCUCACCAUCCCCAUUUAUUUGAUAAAAAUUAAGAACAAGAUAAAGUGAGUCUGUGCAAGUUUCAAGCUCAAAGGACUUUUACUUGAGGGGGUGUGUUAGAAAAUAAUAUAAAUCAUAUCCUGGGACCUCACCUAACAGUUUAAGCUAUUGGGUUGAGAUGGUUCUUUGACAAUAUAACAAGUUGUUUCAACUAACAACCUGCUGGAGGAUCCUAGUAGCAAAUCUUGUAAAUUACGGAACUGAAAAAAUCCAUCCAUGGGGUUGGAGGUUAUCUCUUGGUUCAGCUGUAAUCCCUGCAGUUUUAAUGAGUGUAGGUGCUAUUCUCCUUCCUGAGACGCCCAACAGCCUUGUAGAACAAGGAAAGUUAGAAGAAGGAAGAAAAAUAUUGGAGGAAGUUAGAGGUACAACGAAUGUUGAUGCUGAGUUUGCUGAUCUUAUUGAUGCAAGUAACGAAGCAAAAGCCAUAAAGAACCCUUUCAGGAAUCUCUUAAGACGGAAGAAUCGCCCCCAAUUGAUAAUUGGGGCCCUGGAAAUCCCAAUGUUUCAACAGCUCACUGGAAUGAAUUCUAUUAUGCUCCUGUCUUCUUCCAAAGCUUGGGUUUUGCGGCAGGAACGUCUCUUUAUUCAUCUAUCAUUACUAGUGGGGCACUUUUUGUUGGCGCGCUCACGUCAAUCGCAUUUGUCGACAAAUUUGGCAGAAGAACUUUUUUUUAUUGAAGCUAGUUUUGAAAUGUUCAGCUACAUGGUAAGCCAGGCUCGUUUAAAUCUUUAGCAUAUCGCUAGGGCUUGAAUACUAACUCAAUUGUUUAAUCUGCAGGUGGCUUUGGCAGUAACUCUUGCCCUGAAGUUCGGACAAGGAGAAGCUCUCUCGAAAGCACUCAGCGUGUUCCUAGUCGUUAUCAUUUGCUUGUGUUGCUUUGCUUAUGGAAGGUCUUGGGGUCCUCUAGGGUGGUUAGUUCCAAGCGAGCUCUUUCCAUUGGAGACAAGGUCAGCUGGACAAAGUAUUGUGGGCUGUGUCAACAUGAUCUUCACAGCAUUGAUAGCACAAUGCUUUCUCGUGUCUCUCUGCCAUCUUCGUUAUGGGUUUUUCUUGUUAUUUGGUGCCAUGGUUGCCUUCAUGGGCAGCUUCAUCUUCUUUCUCCUGCCAGAAACAAAGCAAGUCCCAAUAGAGGAGGUAUACCUUCUCUUUCAAAACCAUUGGUACUGGAAGAAAAUAGUAGGAGAUGGCACCAAUGAUGAUGAAUUGGAUGGAAAGAAGGGACAAGCAACUUAGAAUACAUCUCCAAAAUCGGGGAAAACAUCUCCUUUUCAAGUUUAUUGUUUAAUUUUUUUCCUCUAGACUACAAUUCUGUAGAUAAUCUCGUCUCUGGUUAGGCAUUUCUAUGGAUAAAUAUGCAUUAAGUCCUAAUAAUAUUUUUCAGCCAAGCAUUUCUGGGAAAGGUUUUCCACUCAUUUUCUUUUCUUGAAUUAAGUUAUUUUAAGAAUGAAAUUUUCGUAUGAUCAAAUUCACAUAUAAACCGGAAUCUGUGGGGAUGUUACAACACACCUUAAAUUAGAUAGAAAAAUACAAGAAUGAAAGAGAAACGAAUUUGAGAAAGGAAGAAGAGAUCUCUAAAAGUUCUGUUGUGUCCAUAAGGGAUUCCUAUUUCUAAGACCAUAACCGUUGUAAAAACACUAUACAUUUCCCCAGUUGUAAAAAAGUAUUCACCAGCUUUUCAUCAACAUAUGUAACAAGGUUGAUGCAAUCUUUUAUGCUCACAAGAUUUGUGCAGAUGCCUGUCUUUGAUGGUUAAAAAGAAAUAAAAAAAUGCUAUGCCAAGUUCUUUGGGCAUCCAAAUGGGAAAAUAAUUUGGACUGAAAUUUUUGCCAAGCUAAUUUUCUAUAGUUCCAUAGAAAUCAGGGGAGUAAGACAUCAAUUUCUCAACAAGUCUUUCCUUUACCCUUGGUAAACUCAUAUUUAUUGGCGCACUAGUAGUUUUAUAGUAAGGAUAAAGUGUUAUUCAAUUUUCAAUACAAACAUAUCUCAACUGAGUUGAUUUCAUAAAUUUGACCCUUGGUAAACUCAAUGUCCAAUGCCUGAAUGCAAUCUUCGGCUGCUACAAUUCUGCUAACCUCUCCAACAAGCUUAUCUCCUGUGAAUCCAAAUAGCAAUUCAAUAAAAAGAAGAGACAUGUGAAAGAGAAGGAAAUAUCAGAAAGGUUGGAUGCAAUUAUGCAAACAAGGGCAUACAGAACAUAAGAAUUAGCCACUUUCAACGUGUUAUGGAAAGAUUGACAGAAUUGGGUCCAAAAGAUUAAUUAGGAAAUAGUUCUGAUGCUAUCUAUUUCAUGAUCAGCUUGAGAAAACUAAAGCGCCAGACUUUUUCCAAAAAUCCAUUUUGGUGUGAUGAAAAAAGAAUGGAUAUCAGAGGGCAAUGGUCAAGAAAAAACACCAGAGAAAUAAGCCAACAAGAUAGUGUUGAUGCGUAUUAUAAGCCAAUAGCAGCAUUAUCCUUAAGCUCGUAUAAAAGCAUUGCUGUAUCAUGUUUGUUUAAACCAAGGAAUGUAGUUUUAUGACAAAAUCAUUGUUGGAAAAAGAUGUACUAAAUUCCAAGCUGCACUCUUCACAUCUCAAAUGAACACUAAGAAGACAUCCAUUGCCCAUUCUGCCGAUCGUUUAGCUAUAACACUAGACACCACAGUCUCCUUUCCUGAUAGUAUCUUAUUCACCAGAAUGUAAAGCAUGUGCCUCAAUGGCCAGUGGGUGAUAGUUCAAUAGUGAUUCUGCAAAUUAUUUCAAUAGCGCCUCAAAGGCAGGUCUCAUGACUUGGUAAUCCUGUUUGCAUGUACUCUGUCACUCCUGAUAUGUUUGACAUGUGUAAUCCUUAAACAAGCACUGUAAUAUUUGAUUGCUCGUGAAGUGUUGCACCUGACUUCACAUGCUUGUUUUUGCUUUUCUUUUAGGUGGCUACCAGGGGGGAUGUUGCUCCUACUGUUUCUGCCUGACUUCGUAUGUUUCUGCCCAGUGAUGUGGUCAGCCAAGCAUUGAUAGCAGAAUCAUUUAGUGGGAAUACCCAAAGCUUUUGACUUGUUCAUCACUUGUGAUCAUAUGAUGUCAGGAACACACAUCCACCACUAACCCAUUCCAGAUCAUAUGAAUGAACUUUUUUCUGGUCUGAAACGAGGAAUAAAUCCCAUGAACCUUUCCGUAUUUGAUUGCUAGAAUUGAUAUAAUUUUUCUCAUGUUUUCCUGGCAGCAAUGGAUAUAUCUUCCGACCUUACAAAUUUGGCAGGACUCCAGUAGCAGUGAUAUCUGCUGGAGUAAAAUCCGUAUUAGAUAUUCCCAGAACCUUAUAAUAUUUGGUAGAUAUCAUCUUUUUUUACCCCAUUUAUCAUCAGAAGCAAUUCAACUUCAGCUGUUCAUAUCAGUUUUAAAUAAACAGGAAACUCAGGGCAUUUGUGUUGCCGCUUAUAAGACCAAUGAGUUUCCUGCAUUUUUCACGGAGAGAAGUGGUUGCGAGGUACGCCCUUUCUCAUGGCUCACAUUGUCUUUUCAAGCUCCAUCUGAUUUCAAUUUGCAAAAUGUGAAAAUAGCUAAAUCUGUUUGGUUCGUUGCAAUGUAUACCCAUUUUCUAGGAUUGCAUCACUUGACAACUUUCUGCCUGAGAAAAGAAAAAGAAAAAAGAAAGAGUGUUUACAAAGGUACAUUGACUGGUUUCUGUGGAGUGAGGUGUCUCGGUUCUCCUCCUAGAAUCCGGAACCUGGAACAAAUCGAUCAUAUCAGUUAGGCUCGCUGCACCUACCAACUACAAUAGCAGAGUCCACUUAUAUAUAUAUAUAUAUAUAUAUAUAUAUAUAUAUAUAUAUAUAUAUAUAUAUAUAUAUAUAAUUUACUUUCUAAUUUAUUAUCUAAUCUCGUGAAUAGAUUACAGGUUUUGUAGAUGCACUCAGGCUUACUGAGUCAUUUCCCCCCUCUUUUUACGGUUUUUUUAUAUUUGUUUGUCUUUAGAAAAGUUAGUCAACGAAAAAUAUUUUCCGGUCAACAAAAAAUUUUCCUUUUAUUUUGGACGAAAAACUCUUUUUGAAAGUUGUGAAAAAUUUAGAAAUGUCAUAUUAUUUGCUGAUUAUAUCAAAUUUGAUCCUCAAACUUUUGAUUGGUAUAUAUAUUUUAUUUUGAAUAUUUGUUUUUCAAUUUUAUCCUUUAGAAUUUAAUUUUUAUAUUAAUUUUGGUCUUCAUUUUUAUAAUUGUUAUUUGCUUUUCCCUUAUUAUUUUAUAAUUGAAUUUUUUUAUCUAUCAAAUUUGAUUCUCGUUUUUUUGAUUGUUACUUAUUUUAUUUGAAAUAAUUUAUGAAAUGUUAAUUAUUAUUAUUUUAAUUUCUUCAUCUUUCAAUUUUUUUUUUAAAAAUUUGAUCUCUAUUAUUUUGAUUAUUAUUUAUUUUAUUUGAGAUAAUUUAUGAAAUUAUAUAUUUUUUUAAUUUUAUUCUUAUUCAACUUUUAAUUUGUAAAAUUUGUUCCUCAUUAUUUUAAUAAAUUUUUUUAAAAAUAAAACAUUAAUAAGUUAUUUUCCAGCUCAUUUUCCAUAACAUAACCAAAUAAUGGAAAGUAUUUUCCAACUUAUUUUCAUUACACUACCAAACAUCGAAAAAUAAUUCACUUUUUCAAAAUUCACUUUCUAAAAAAAACUACUUUAAUCAAAUAAACGGUCCUUGGAUAAACAUUGAAUUCACUACCUUAAUUAGUUUUUAUUUUUAAUAUAGCCACAAGACUUAUGAAAGCUGCGCAGAGAAAACGAUAAUUCAGUCCAUUCCUGUGUUUUCAAUGUUUUCCUAGGACUCAUCAUGGGAUUAAUACACUGUUAUUUGAACCUGCAGCUUCAAGGGUUUGUAUUGUCUAUGCAUGCAAUUGACCCCAAAAUAAAACCAGAAUGAAUCAAAUUAAACUGCUAAAAAAACAUAUCAAUCGAGUUGAACCAGCUGGACGUGGUAAUGCCAUAUUAAUUACCACUUGAAAAAAAAAGAAGAAAAUAUUGGUGCUAAAGCUGGGGAUCGAACAAAAGGUGCCAACAUCUUAUUUUAAGGAAAGUUUUAUAUGUAUGUAUGCAUGUAUGCGGGCAGAUUUAUGCUUUAUUUGUACAAUAGAUAUUAUGAAACAAUAUUUUUUUAAAAAAUAAUGUUGAAAUGAUAAACUAUUAAAUUAAUCUAGAUGAAUUUUUGUUAUUAUUAAAUUUUUAAUAUGUAUAAUAAAAUUAAAAUAAUUUUAUAUAAAAUAAAUUAAAAUAAAUUAUGAAAUUUAAUUUUUUAAUAAUAUUAAAAAAUAAAAUUUUUUUAAAAAUAUUUUUUAACAUGAUUCAUGUGAUCAAGCGCACAAAAGAAUCCUAAACGCUAUAUCACACAUAUAUUAAUGGGCUAACGUGCACCUCGAUCAUCAAUGACGAACCAAUGAUGAAACUAACUGCGACCUUUUAAGUAUUUGAUUUGACCUCUAUUUGCUUCUGUUUCAUGCAUGAGAGAAAGGUAGAAGUUUUAUAGCCUCGUCAAAAAAACUAAGAUGUGCAGGAGAAAUGCAAAAAGAAAGUGCGAUCAAUGCAUAACCAUACGAUAACUAAGGGAACCAAUCCACAACAGAAACCAAACUUCAAUAAUAGCACACUGUAGAAAUCCUGAUAAGGACGCACUGUCCUCAAAGCAUGCAGCAAUCAAUAAACACCCAUAAUCCCACGGAUAAAGGAUGUUCCAAGAACUCAUAAGAACCGACAAACAGGCAACGAGGAGAAGACGAACGUAUAAGGAGAUCAGAGCACCAAAAGAUCAGACAAACAGGAACAGCAAACCAGAAGGAGAGCAGUUCGUCAGUACUGACACAGCAUGAAGACCACACAAACCUGCAUAUAUAUAUCCCAUCAAAUCCAUUUAAGUUAAACCAGCAAGAUGGUCUCAAAGAAACCAGCAUAAAAGAACAAGGAAACAAAAGAUAACGAAAAGAAAGCAACAAAAAAUGGGCAAAAGGAAGCACCAGCAGGAACAACGACAGAGAAAUAGAAUGAACAGAAAAACCAAUGAGCCAGACCUAAGAGGGAGGCAUGAAAGAGAGUAAAAAGGAGAAGCAGAUGAACCUACCUACGCGACCCAAGCCAAAAAAAAAGAGAGGAUGUGAAAGCAUGGGAAGCCCUUGGACAACACUAGCAUGAUAUAACAAAAAAAACAAUGAAACAGAACCUGAAAUGAUAAAAGGGCAAGUAAAGGCCAAAUAAAAUUAGCAAAAAAACUAACCAAACCUGAAGAGUGCUGAAAAUCACAAACUUGUCAACGACCAAACAGCUUGUGAGCACAAAAAAAGAGACCUGGAACUGGAAUUCCCCAGUCAGCAGUCUAGAUCAAGCAGACGUCCAAUCAAACCCAAUAAUCAGCAGCUCUUCCAAUGUUAAAGAGCGAAGGGCCCAGCCAAGUGGGCAUUGCAUGUAAUGCAUAAUCAUGAUCCCGGGUCGUUUUCUCUGAGGUAGCAGACACGACCGAAAUAAAAUAACCCCACCCACAACCAUUGUCAGUAUUUUUUUUUUAGUUUAUGUAUUUAAAGUAUAAAUUAUAUUUUAUGACAAUAAAAAAUAUAUGUACCAUUGUCAGUAUUUAGUUGGAUGGUGUGGUGAUUUUUUUUUAAGUUAUGUAUUUAAAGUAUAAAUUAUAUUUUAUGACAAUAAAAAAUAUAUGUAUUUUAUGUGAGUUCCAUACAAAAAUCAACCAUAUAUCCAAACGAAACACCACCACAAAGCCUGCCCUGCAACCUCAAGCCGCUGCCACUUCCCAUCACAGCCAGUGCACAAGAAGCUGAACACACAACACCCAAAAAAACCCAGCCCUCCAAGGCUCAAAAGGAAGCGCCAACAACCCAAGGCGCGAUGAGAGCAAUGGAAAGCCGCACCAUUAAGAAAAGCAAAACCAGCGGAAAAAAGAGGAAGUCGCCCCCAUGACUGAACCACACUGCACGGUGAAUGGUUUGUAAUUAUAAUAGCGAUAAUGAUUUAAAGUAUUUUUUAUUUAAAAAUAUAUUAAAAUAAUAUUUUUUUAUUUUUAAAAAUUAUUUUUAAUAUUAAUUUAUUAAAACAAUCUAAAAAUAAAAAAUAAAAAAAAUUAGUAAAAAAAAUUCAAAAUUUAAGGGCUAGAAUCAUCCCACAACCCUGGAAAGAUGAGGCAACUACAUGUACUGUGCAAUUCCACAGUUAACUGAGUUAUGGGAGCAGUUUUUGUCUUUGCGGAAUAAACCGUGAUAUCUCAAGUUAUGAUUUCUUUUUUAAAUCUGAAAUUAUUUUUUAAAUUGUUUUGAUAUAUUGAUAUUAAAAAUAAUAUUUUAAAAAUAAAAAAUAUUAUCUUAAUAUAUUUUUUUUUAAAAAAACAAUUUAUUUAAACACUCUAAAACACCUCUUAUGUACAGUAUCUACUUAGUAUUUUUCCAUACUGUUUAGAGUUUUUUUUUGUUAAUUGUUCACUGGAUAUGAUGUGCCUUUGAUACAAAAAGAAAAGGAGAAGAUGAUGUUAAACAUUCAUCUUAGUCCAAUAGCUUAAAUUGUUAGGUGAGGUCUCAAGAUAUGAUUUAUAUUAUUCUCUAACACACCCCCUCAAGUGAAAGUCCUUUGAGCUUGAAACUUGCACAAACCCACAUUACCUUGUGUUUAAUUUUUAUCAAAUAAAUGAGAGUGGUGAGAUUCGAAUUCAUAACCACUUGGUCAUCAAGGUUCUGAUACCACGUUAAAUAACCAUCUCAACCCAAUAGCUUAAGCUGUUAGGUGACAUCCCAGGAUAUGAUUUAUAUUAUUUUCUAACAUAUGCUUCGUGGUGCCCAAAAGGUUCAACAACUGGAUUAAAAUUCAUAAGUUGAUAUUGUUGAAUAAUUAACGACUGAAUAUCACCAUGCUUUUUGUUCACCCAAUAUCAAGAUUUGUCCCUCCUGUAACAUGAGAAGUUGAGACAAGCAAAGAAGCUUGUUUACACAUGGUUAUGUAUAUAUAUAAUCUCAAUUUCCCUUUACUAUCUCCCCACUUUCAGACAUGGAACGGCAGCGGCUCAACAUGUUCUACAAGAUAAAUAAACUGACUCGGCUUCAAUAUAUCUCUCUCUCCCUGCUUCUGGCUUGCCUGUUUGGUAAUUACAUGAUGGAGCAAGAAGGGUCCUGAUGGGGGUGAAUCGGAUAGAUAUAGGUCUGAGGCAUGCCUCCACCAAACACGGGCCAAACAACCGGCUGCACUGCUGGCUCUUCUUUCUUCUCUUCUUUCUUUUCUCCCACAGCUUCUACACUUGCUAACUCUGCGUAGCCUACUUUCUUUCUCAGCAAAUUUGUAAGUUGUACUGCAUCAACUCCAUCGCCUACCACCUCUAUCUGGCUCUUAUCUUCCCCUCCUAAACGAGCAGAUUCAACACCUACAGAAUCGCAAAAGGAUAUAUAAACCAGUCAACAAAUUGAUCAUCUGAAUUUUCCCACAAAUGCAUGGUACUUUCUAUUAGGUAUUCCGAUUCUAAAACUUGUGUGCAUGGAAGGUUUUGUUCACCUGAAAGCCCAACUGCAAUCCGCAAGGCUUUGGUGCGUGACUUCGGUCCAUUCCCCGUCACCUUGAUCACUAUCUUUUGCUGCAAUGAUUUAGCAUAAUUAAUCAUUAACAAGAAAGUAAUAUACAUAAUAUUUUUACGAACAAGCUAGCAAUAUACUUGUGUUCUGAUCGCAAAUUCAUACCUUCAUGGUCUUGGUUGUUGGAAAGAUGGUGAUAUGUAGGGAAUGAGGAGCUGUUUACAGUCCAGGAGACACCAAAAGUGAUGGUUUUGGUCUUUUGGGGAGGUUUUGAAGAAACAGAGGAGGGAGUAAAUUAAUGCUCUAGUUGUUUGAAGAUGGAAAUCUGGGAGGCAGUUCUUGCUAUUUAUAUAGGAGUGCAUGGGCUAGAGAGUAUGCUUGAGGAGAUUUCUGUGCAAGUUCUCAAGGAAUCUCUGAUUCCGAUUCGCUCUUCUUUCAGUUGACAAGUAAACACACGGCAUUUCCUUUGGGGUCCUGCUUAUCAUUGACCUAGCUAGAAGACCUAAUUAAUUUUAAUCACCAAAUAAAAAAAAAAAGAAGAAAGAAACAAGACAAGGUGGCUAGAUUUGUGUGGGAUAUUUGAAAAGACAUCUGAGAUAGUAAUUUUUUCAUGUGUUUUUAUUUAAAAAUAAAUUAAAAUUAAAAUAUAUUUUUAUUUUUAACACCCACAACCACAAAAAUAAACAAUCCCUUCUAGUCUCCUUACAAGGCUUGUGUUUGCAAUCAGAGAGUAAAAACACGUUGAUGGUUUUUAUUUUCUAAUCUGUAAAACACACGAAUCCUGCUUAUAAUUGGUCUCGGCAGGAAAUAUUUUCAAAAUCAAGUUGUGGCAUGUCCUAGUCCGCGUUGCUUUCGAUCCAAUUCUUUUAGCUGAUUAAAAGAUAAAAGGAAAAUAUGGGAUCCACAGUUCAUCUUGCAUGCAAUACCGAGGAAAGAGUCUUUGCAGACCAAAUCGAUUUUUAGUCUUUAAGAACACUUUAAUUACUCCUAAAAGGGACCAGGGAAAAUGUGAACGCCGAAAAAUCAACAGUAGAGUUCGAAAAUGAAGUGCAGCAACAGGAGAGCAGAGUUACAUUGAGAUUAGGUGGCUAUCAGCCUAUCAUUAUCAACCUUUCUCUUUCCUGUUGUGUGUGUGUGUGUGUGUAUGAAAAAGAAUGACGAGUGAUAAAAAGCUGUGUGUACGAGUGACUUUUUCUGAAAAGAAACAGGAGCGCGUAAGGGACAAAUCAGCUAACUUAAUAUAUCGAACCCCUCCUCUGGUACAGAGUACAGACGACUUGUUUAUUAUACCAUCGUUAUGCCAUACAUUACGGGUCAAAUGAAUUCUUUUUUUAACAUAUAAAAAAAAUAUCAAGGUAUUGUUGAUGUUUUUCUAGAGUAAAAAAUUUAAAACUGUGUGGGAUGGUUCAUUUAAUAUGAUAUAAUUAACUUGAUGAGUGUAAAAAUAACUUGAAUAAUUAGUAAAAUUAUUGUUUAAUUUACUAACAUUGAAGGCAAUUUUUUUUAAAAAAAGUAAUAUUGAAACAAUAAUAUAUUUAAUUGAUUUGGGUCAACUCAGGUUAAUUUGUCAAAUCCGCAACCUGGAUUAAGAGACCAUAAUAACCCUGUAUAAAACAAAUCAAAACAAAUUAUGAAGUUAAAAAAAAUGAUUUGAGUUAACCUGUCAAAUCUGUGACCCGGGUCAUGAAAUUACACUACAAGAUUUAACAGUUUUACCAACGGAAAAAUUUCAUCGGUAUAAGACACAUAUUCCAUCGGUAAUUAUAUUACCGACGGAAUCACAGACAAAAAUGAUCCGUCGGUGAAUCGUUCGUCGGUAAUGUUUUGUCCGUCGGUAAAUCCGUUGGUAAUAUAAUCACCGACGGAUUUACUGACGGAACAGAUGCGUCGGUAAUAAUUUUUUAUUAUCAAUGAAAUUACCGAGGGAUAUACCGACGGAAAUUUCGUCGGUAAUUAUAUAAAAACAUUUUAAAAAAAUCAUUUUAUAAAAUUAUAAAAUAAUUAAAUUAACAUAAAUCAACACAAUAUAUUAUAUACUCAAAAUGCUUGGAAAAAAAAAUAAGAAAAUCAACUCAAACAAAUUUGCAACAAAUAAAUAAAAUGAAAAAAAUAAAUUCAACUAAGAAAAUUCAUAUGAAAAAAAUGAAGUUGCAAUUGCUAAAAAUUUAAAAAUCCCUAUAAAUAAAUCAACUAAAAAUUGGUCUCAUAUGAAAAAAAAAUCUCACAACAAAAUUUAUACAAUUAUUAAGAACAAAAACAAUUAAAAAUAGAAUAAAAAACAAAUAUAGUGAAAAAAAUCAUGAAAAAAGAAGAAAAAAGAAAAAUAUUACCUUAAUGUAAUUGCAAGUGAAGCUAAGGAGAGAAAUUUUUUUUUCGUAAAGCAUAUUAAUUAAAAAAAAACUAAGAGGAUAAAAGAAGAAAGAAGAAGAAGAAGACAUACCCGAGUAUGAACGAAAAGAGAAGAAGAUUAGGAGAGAAAAGAAGAGAAAGAAAUAGAUAUUGAUGUUUUUUACAUAUAGUGAAGAAGAAGAAGAAGAAGAAGAAGAAGUAGAAGAAAAAUUAUAAGAAAUGAGUCUGUUUCUUGUGAAAUAAGGGGAUCCAGACUUUUAAUUGGGGCGCGUUAGCGACGGAUUUACCAACGGAUUAUUGAAUAUUAAUAUUUUUUAAUUAUUCCGUCGGUAAUUCCAUCGGUAAUAUUUAAUUUAAAUUUUCAAUUUUGUAAAAAGUUUUCAAAAACUGCCAACAAUUACCGACGAUUUUUCAAUCCAUCGGUGAUUCCGUUUGUAAUAUUUAAAUGAAAAUUUUAAAUUAAUUGAAUUUUUUCAGAAAACCGCCAAAUAACACUGACGACUUUUCAAUCCGUCGGUGAUUUUGUCCGUAAAGAACAACAAUUAACAGUGCAAUUGGAAAGUGAACAGUUCUGGAGCUCUCUAGAAAAUACCGACAGAAAUUUCCGUCGGUGAUUCCCUUUGUAAUUGACACGAUGAACAAUGUUCACAGUUUACCAAUGGAUUUACCGACGGAUUUACCAACAGAAUUACCGACGGAAUAAUUUCCGUCGGUAAUUUCGUUGGUAAAAAUGACACGUCAUCAUUUUUUUUUGCUUUGUUUUAAUUUUUUUCCCACGGUAAUUCCCUCGGUAUAUACCGAGGGAAUAUUUCCGUCGGUAAAAUCCCUCGGAAAGUUACCGACGAAAAUAUUCCCUCGAUAUUUCCGUUUGUAUUUAUCGAUUUUCUGAUAGUGUUAUGAUAACCUCAAGGAAAGUAAACAAAAAAAGUCAACACGGGUUAACCUGCUAAACUCACGACCAAGGUUAUAAGACCGUGAAAACCUCAUUGAAAACAAAUCAAAAAAAAAUUAUAAAGCCCAGUUUUCAAUAAACUCAUUGUUAAAGGUUAAAAUAAAUAAAUCUAGAAACAUAAUACAAUAAAACAACCAGAUUCAUAAAAUCAAAAUAACCUUAUAAAAGACAAAUCAAAAUAAAUCAUGGAGCCUACUUCAUAAUCAACUUCAUGUUGAAUGAUUAAAUUAAAAAAAAAAAUACAAAUUAAAAAAAGUAAAAAAAAACUCGAGUCAACCGGGUCAACCUGUCAAACCCGCAACAUGAGUCAUGAUACCGAAAUAACUUCAUAGAAAGCAAACUAAAAUAAAUUAUAAAGUCUGAUUCCUAAUCAAUUCAAUGUUUAAGGUUUUAAGUAAAACAAAUGUUAAUUAAAAAAAGAUAAAAAAAACUCAAGCCAAUCGAGUUAACCCGGCAAACUCAUGAUACAGGUUAUAAGAUUGACCUAACCAUUUAUAAAGCAAACCAUAAUAGAUUAUGAAAUUCAAUUUCCAAAAAACUAAAUAUUGAAGUAUAAAAUUACAGAAAUAAAUAUAGAUUUCGAAAAGAAAAAAAAACAAAGUAAAAAAAACACUAUUGAAAUGAAAUAAUAUUUUAUGAGGUGGUGCAUAGUAAGAACAACUUCUUUUUUAGUUUAUACUACUAACUAUUUAACCCAUGCUCCUCCGUGAUUUGAAUUUUUAUAUAUAAAAUAAUGAAUCUAGAAGCUUUUCCAAUGUGUUUUUUUAUUAAAAAAAAAAUCAAAAAUGGAAAUAAAAAAUAAUAUGUAUACAUCUAAUAAAAUAAAUUAAGAACUAUGUGUGUCAAUAAAUAAAUAAAAAGUCUUUAACAAUAAAUAAAGAUGAAAAUUAAAAAAAUUAAGAGUCAGCCAUAGACCAAGAUAUUCAACUUCGCAACUUGAAUCUUUGACACGGUUGGGUUUAACAACUUUAUUAACAAAAAACAUUUUUUUAUUUAACUAAAUGAUAAUAAAAAUGGAGACACAUGCAAUUGAUUAAAUAAAAUAAAAGGCAAAAAACAAAUGUUAUGCAAGGUUACAAAUCUUAAAAAUAUUCUCUGAAAAUAAAUAUUUUUAAUCUUUUUCAAAUAAAUUUCAUUUAUACAAAACAUAAGAAAAUAAAUGAAUUAGAACAAUCUCUCGGAAAAUUAAAUGCAUACAAAAUAAUUAAACAAUAAUCGUUAUUUAAAAGGUGCUAGAUAAAAAAAUUAAACGAGAGGAGUAUUAAUUUAAAUAUAACUUUUAAAAUUAUUUUUAAAAAAUACAUAAAAAAAGACAUUAAUUUAAAAAACAUUUUUAAAAAACAAAAAAAGCCAAGCACUGCAGGGUCUGACAAGCCAGGGCAACGCGCUUGGCCCAUCCAAUAAGGGCCUGCGCCUGUAGGAAGAGGCCCGUUUUCUUGGCCUUUAUUUUUUUAUUGUUGAUGAUGUGGACAACAUGUCAUCCCCUAAUUUUUUUUUUAAAAAGGAAAAUAAGCCAGACGUGAUAUUACCUAGUUUUCGGCCACCACUAUGACCAUAAAAUCAAGAGUUAAGUUUCUUCGACCUAAAAAUUGAUUUUCAACUCAUUGUAUACCCAUGACACCUAGAAAACAUCUUAGGCAUCUUGAUAAACCCAUUCAUGCCCUAAAAAAAUGAAAAAAAAUCAUCCCGAAACUCGAAAUCAACCCAAAACCAAAAAUCUUACUAAGCUCAUAUAUGUUUUUAGGCAAUUUCAAGGUAAAAAAACACCUAAUGUAAACUCCUUUCAUCAAAUGAAACAAUUUAACACCAAUAUUGAAUGUUUUUAUGGCCAAAUCCGGUGCAAUGGAAACUUUCUCUCUCUAGUGUUGAAUUUUAGCGUAUUUCUCUCAUUUAUCUCAAACCAGGAACAAAAAAAUAAGAAAAAGAAAGUUUGGAACCAAAAUUGAUUUUUCCCUUAAAUUUUAGAAACUAAAGGGACCUAAUAUUUAUAAUUUAGAGAGUAUGAGGACUAUAAUAAAUAUUUUGCCCAAACUUUAUUAAAGCUACUCAUUCCCUCCGUGUUUCUCAAUUUGAUUCCCCAUCUUUCGAUACCACCCUUCCUCAACAGAUUGGCCUGUAACUUGGUUCAAUAAAGGUCAAACUAAAAGAAAAAAGAAAAAAAAGUUGUGUGAAUAGUCUAUUUACAGUACCAAGUAAGGGGAUCCACAUUGCAUUUUGCAAGGUGUAUUCCUCGUGCAUUUUAGAUUUAUGGUUAAUAAUAAUAAUUUUCCUUCAAAAUGUGAUUGGAUAUAUUUGUGAGAAAAGAUUCCCUUCUCGUGGGUUGAGUAUCCUUGUAGUCAAACUUGGCUCAUGUUGUUCUCAUCCUCCUCCAACUAUUCUAGCUACCCAGGAGGAGGGUAUGAGGUAAUCAUUUAAAGGUGAUAGAUCCACUAGGGUACACAUAUAAUCGGGUAUAUCAGAAUAUAUAUCUCUUUAUAGUGUCUAAUGUAAGAAAGGAAGUCCAUAACUUGAACUUAAAUUACAAUUUUUUUCAUAAUAGAUACAUCAUUAAAGUAUUAAAUCAUGAAUGCCUGGUGAUGAUCUCCCAAAAAAUUAAAGUAGCAUAGGAGCAAAGCUUAUCUGUUAGACAAUCAAUUAAUUUUUUGAUUUUAGCAAUCUGAUUCAUUCUCCAUUAACCAAGAUGGCUAGUAGCUUGUACCUGGAAGAUCGAAGUGGUUGGUAGCUGAUACUUGCAAAAGGUCCUCUCUAGUAUAUGUAGGGUCUCUCAGAUGUUUAGGUAAGUAAUUUUUUAAGAAGAAAAAAAUGUAAUGAUAUUUUAGAGAGAUAGACUCUUAAAAUAUAUAUAUCAAAAAAGUUGAGAAUGAAGAGAUUAUGAAUUUAUAGCCUAUGAGUCUUAUGCUUUUAUGAAGAGGAGGAGUCGAAAAGUCACUUCAUCUUAUUAAUAUUUUAAGUUGUAGUUUACUCAUAAUAAAAUGUAUUGGAUUGGUUAGAUCCAGGUAACAUUUAAACCCAUUCUUUUGAGCCGUUAGGGGCUUUGAGCACAAUAACUUUAAGUCCAUCACCUAGCUAAAGAGACUCUUUGAAAAACUAAGGUUUACAUUAUUUUAGAUGUUAAAUUAGCCUACAUUGCCGCCAUUAUAUAUAUAUAUAUAUAUAUAUAUAUAUAUAUAUAUAUAUAUAUAUAUAUAUAUAUAUAUGUUAAAUUCUAAUAUAUUUAGAUAAUAGUUUGCAUUUUAAAAUAAGUAAUGAUACCUAACUUAUAUAAAAUAAAUUUAAGAUAUUAAAAUAAAAUAAUAACAUAUUAAAAAAUAUUGAACACCUAGUUUUGCUAAUUGUAUAGACUUGAUAACGAUAACAAUUUGUAUAAGAAAACAAUUAUGUUGAAAUCAAAAGCUUUGUUUGAAAGUAAUACUCAUAAACUAAUUUUACUUUUAAUCAAAAUACUAAUUUAUCUAACUUUUAUAUUAUUAAAUUAAAAAAAAAGUCUCAUGUAUUCUACAUGGUGAUAAUGUUUCAAAAUUCAAGAUGGUUAGAAAUAUGAUUUUUUUGGUGGUUGAAUUAUGAGUUAAUCAAGUAUC
Molecule: long non-coding RNA, 71967 nt
Filed under: Populus trichocarpa (black cottonwood)
Lineage: Eukaryota; Viridiplantae; Streptophyta; Magnoliopsida; Malpighiales; Salicaceae
Description: long non-coding RNA (PTRI_LNC002283)
Source: RNAcentral